RNAcentral lists this long non-coding RNA (45685 nucleotides) under Daucus carota (carrot). Its description in RNAcentral is "long non-coding RNA (DCAR_LNC000049)". Lineage: Eukaryota; Viridiplantae; Streptophyta; Magnoliopsida; Apiales; Apiaceae. The record is from RNAcentral.
UUAGACAGAUAAAGACGGAAAUUUUACAAUUUUGCAUAUAUUGUAUGAAGUUUGUACAUGCAAAACCCAAUGUUAUUGUUAUACACAAAUCAAGCAAAGGGUGAAAAUACCAUAUCGAGAAAUGUUGGCAUUUCUUUUUGUCCACUUAGAGCAAGGUUUGGUAGAAUCACUUUUAUCCCUUGCCGGCCUGACAUAAUGAAUUUCAAUAUCUCACGAAUUUCAUAUUAUACACAUUAAUUAAAAAGUUAACAGUUAUGAGAGUAUUUAAAUAUUAAUUUAUGUCUUUUCAGAAACCUAUAAACGUAAAUGCACAGCCUAUACACAUAAUUUAUCACAAAUUGUAAGAUAGCGCCGCUUGGAUGGAUCCCCUCUCAGUGUUUUGACUUAAAUAAAUGUGAUUCAACAAAACAUAACACAAUAGUAUCAACAAUAUCUGGAUUCUUAAUGCCCAUCUAUUGUUAAAUUUCGAGAUUGUUGUUUCCCUUUAUCAUCUCUAUCCAACAAGCAAUGAUCUCUUAUAAGUAGUAUUUCCAUAGACAUACAGAAAUCAAAAGGUAGUUUACUUUCUAACUAACUUCUACAUUAUACUACAAGAAAAAGGGUGCUCAAAACUAACACAAAAUAUUCCGAUACAGCUAACCAACACAAUCACGAUAAACAGACCACAAUUACCACAGGUCAUUCAAAACUAACCACAAAUCACCCUUAUCCAGUGACAAAAUAUUCCGAUACAGCCAAUCAACACAAUCAAGGGCACAAUCAAUCAUAAAAUAUUCCGAUACAGCUAACCAACACAAUAAAGCUGAUCACUAUCAGUUAUCACAUAUAUGUUCAAAACAGACCACAACUAAAUGAGAUCUAUCUAGUCAAUUAAACAUUUUCGUAACAGAAAUCAAAAUUUUACCCACUGAGGUGGCAAUAGAACAUAGUUUUGUUUUGCUGGAGCAUCUUCUUCAUUGUUUACUGCAAGAACAAAUGCGAUAAUUAGUGAGUUUCGUAUCAGAUAAAUUAGCUAUAAAACAAUCGGAAUUGAAAAUCUAGGGCUUAAGAAAACGAUAUAUAUACCUGGUUUUCGGCUUCGAAACGGACAACAUAAAGAAUUUGAACAUCGAUCUAGCAACACUGAAUUAUGAAUACACUCGAAUAGAUACAUACACACACGAUUAUUAUCCAUCGAUGCGGCGUGCCCUAAUCUAAUUGGGAUGUCGCCGCCUUAACCUGCACGAGGAGUUUAGAAGAGAUUUUAUACCUAAAAUAUAAGUGGGGUAAGUGAUGGGCUAGGGUUUCUUCUGGAUAAUCGGAAUGGGCUUUUUUAUAAAUUAUAAGAUGGGGUAAGUGAUGGGCUUUUUAUGAGUUACUUUAAACAACUAUGAUAGUAGAAUUUUAUGGGCCUCGUUUGAUUUGAUAAGUGAAUGACACGAGACGGUUAGUGUGAUUGUUCAGAAUUUUAUAUGUUAAACAUGUAUUUUAUAUGUUUGAUUGUUUUUUUAUUUUGAAUUAGAUGACGGUGAAAAGCUCUGUGACUACAUGCUAAUUUUCUUCGCUAAAUUUUAUAUGCUAAUGUUCUCUAUAGUUUAAAAAGUUUGAAAUGUUGAAAAUUUUGAUAUUCAAGCAAACUUAAUUUUAAAUAUAUGUUAAUAAGUCUAAUUAUAAAAAAAUAAUAAAUUAUAAUUGAAAAAUAUGUAUUAUAUUAUUAAAAAUAUUAAAUUAAAUUAAUUGAAAUCCAUCAAAUAUAGGUAUAGGGUUUUAAAAAAUUAUAAUUUAAUUUUAAAUAUUUGUUGCUAGAUUUAUCUUAUUUAGCAUGUAAUUUAUAUUAAAAUGUAAUAAUCGAAUAUAUGGAUAUUUCGUGGUUUGAAUCACUUUCAAUUACCGUCAUUAAAUUUCAUAUCAAAUUGAUGAGAAAUAUUUAAUAUAAUAUUUAGAAGAGUUUCUUUAUAUGAUUAGGGUUUAUUUCUCAUCAAUAAUAUAAUCGAAUUUAAUUUAUAAUAUAAAUUUAUAAUUAUUUAAAAUUCCAAACAGCCAUAUUAAAUAUUAUAUUAAAAUUAUAUAAAGAAUAUAAAACAUACAAUAGUAUCAAUUAUUUAUUAAAAUAAUAUAUAUUUAAGACUAUUUACUUAGAUUAAUAUUUCUGUUGAUUAAUUCAAAAACACCCAAAUCAUAAUAGAUUUAAGAUAAUUUUUGAUAAUUUAAAAAACCUUUCAUUUUCUUAAUAUCUGUUAAAAUCACCAUUGUCAUGAAGAAAAAAAAAACUGCAUUAUAAAUAUUUGAUAUGAUUGAUACAUUAAUAUACAUACGUGCAUGGUGCAUAAAUGAAUGUAUAUACGAACUUCUCUGGAAGAUAAUAUCCACAGUGGCAUCAUUUGUCAGCCUGAUAGAUUUCAAUACCGGAGAAAACAACUUGUAUCUAUGUUGUAUGACAAGUUAAUUGACUGUUAUGUACUAGAAAAGUCUAAACCGAUCGCAGGUAUAAAUUAAUCCGAAACUGAUAUAGUCCGAUCAUAAAUAAAUCUUGGGAAUAAUAAAAGAAUCCAAAAUGAGUAAUAUUAAUAUUAUUUAUUAUUCUCUAGACUCUAUUUAAUUUGUUUUUUUAGAGAUAGUUCUGUAUGUAUUUUAAAGUUUUAUAAAAUAUAUUUCUUAAAUAAUUUGAUGAAAAAAUUUCUAGAUAAAAUUAAAAUUUUAAUUUUAACAAAAAUAGGAAAAUUACAAAAUGAGUCAUGAAAAUCUAUUUCAUAAAAAUUUAAAAUAUAAAUAAGGAAAUUCUUAUGAAAUUAUAAAACGAUUUAUAUAUAGUUAUUGACAUUGAUUUUAGACGAGAAAGGAAAUUGUGUUUGUUUAAACUCUAAUCUAAAUUCUAAUCAUUUUGUUUGUGUUUGUUUAAACUGUAAUAAAUUUGUUUCGCUUGUACAUUCAUCAACAAUAAAUUGUUUUAUGUUCUUCCAUCAAUAAGAUCACAAAAACAUCUAGCUUCGGCACCUAAACAAAUGCUACAUAACCCAGAAGAAAAUUGGUAAAUUAUGAAUAACUGUUCCAAAAUGCAGAAUCCUGUUUUAACACACAAACAAGCGUAUUAUAUACAUUAUACAGGUCAAUAAAUAAAAAGAUAAAUACUAGAAAUACUUCAAGUAACUUAAUGGUUACUUGAACAUCAUCUAUUUUAAGUCUUUUGAGCCCUGAUCUUACAUACGGAUAAGAAAAGACAAUAUGGUUACUACCAAUUCGCGGUCCUUAGAUAAUUGAUUUUCAUCAUUUUGGAGCAUCAUCUUCAUUGUUUACUGCAAAUCAUCUUCCUUGUUUACUGCAAAGAAGAAUGUGAAAAUCAGUGACUUUCAUACUAGAAAAUUUAAUAAAUUUCAAGUACAUUAUAACUUAACUAUAAGCAUACCUUCACCAUUUAUGAGUCAUACAUCUCCCAAUUAUUAUUAAAGAAAAAACAAUCUUUACGUGAAUAAGAUUGUAUUGAGUUUGUUUUAUGGCAGGGUCGGCUAGGAGCUCAGCACAAAACUCUAGCCACCUACAUAGAGCUCGCUGAGGGAAGAUGGAACUCAUCCUUGUGCUUUGGAACAAGGUCGGAAAUUCCUAGAGGUGGUGCCAGCCUCUAGGUUCUUUUACCUCAUCAGCUGCAUAAACACAAACACUGGACACAGGCACAGUGGACAUAUAAUAUAUCUUAGAAAAAUAACGAUGGAAGUUUCAUAAUUUUGCAUAUAUUGUAGGGAGUGUACAUAUAAAAACCAAUUUUUUCGUUAUACAAAAAUCAAGCGAAGGGUGAGGACUACCAUCUCGAGAAAUGUUGGCAUUUCUCUUUGUCCACUUGGUGCCAAUUUUGGUAAAAUUAAUUUUAUUCCUUGCCAACCUGACAUAAUAAAUUACAUAUUCUACGCAUUAAUUAAAAAAUUAACAAUUAUGAGAGUACUUCAAUACUAAUUUAUGUCCUUUCAGUCAUCACAAUAAAUAAAGUUCAUACAGAAACCUAUAAACACUACUAGAAAAACGUCAAUAAACAUCAGUUAAAAACCCAUGUUUAUGAAAAAGAGAAACCGAUGUCUUCGUGGGUGAUGUUAAAGAUCCCCUCAUUUAACAUCGGUUUCAAACUGAUGUGAAAGAUGUCGUAUGACAUCGUUUCUUAAUUUGAAACCGAUAUCUAUAUCUUGAUGUUAAAUUUUUAAUGCACAUCUAUAAUUUAUAUAUAAUUAUAAUAUGAUAUUUUUAUCAAUUUAAAGAUAUGUAAUAAAGGUCAAAGAAAAGAAAAGGUGCACUCAUAUACUCAACACCACACCUUUUUUUAGCGAGCUCUACAGUGUUUUUCCCCCCUUCCCGACCAGUACUAGUACAAGACUUUGGCCUGCAAAGAGAAAGGAGAACAAUUGCAGGAAGUAAUAACUGUUAAUGUGGCAAACAGGUUUAUUUUUCAGAAUAACAACUCAAAUAAAAAGUCUCAUACUAACACUUAUAAUGCAAACAUUUGCACUCAGUAAAUGCAGGAGCUAGUCCCCAAAAUAAGAUGCAAGUAAAAGAAAGGAACACAAUUACUCAGCAAUAAAUAAUUUAUAGAGUUUAAACUUCAAAACAAGACUAAAAAUUGGAAACGCAUCUGUAGUUCCUUUUUCGAACCACAUCUGUCAAUGAACCACACCAUUAAAUUCAGUAACAAAGAUUAAUUACAACAGAAAUUUAUAAGUCUACAACAGAAAGAGGACCCAAAUAAAAAACUACUAGAGAGUCACAAAAAUAAAACUAAAAGAAAUGGAGAAAGCAUCUGCAGUUCCUUUUCCUGACAACAUCUGCUUAUGUCUGAAUUAUAUUUAUGAACCACAACAUCAAAUUCAGUAACAGAGCUUGAAUGAAAGAUUAAUAUAACAAACUAGCAAGCAAAAACUAUACAACAAACACUGGAAAACAAACAUAAAAAGAAUAUAAGGUUACCCUGUGUUGGAGUUAUUCAUGCCCAAAAACUUUCUGUUACAAUCUUCAUAUGAUUUAGCCAAUUUUUUGUUCUGGUGGAGCGAUGCUGCACAGAUCAAAAAAAUUUGUCAAAAGGCUAAACAAGACUAUUAACAAACAGUUAUUAGAUUAUACUCAUCUCUCUCAAAACUCACCUUCAUAAUUUAACUACCUCUGGGUCCCUGAGUUAAUUAGUAAUUAGUAAUUUAGGAUAAGAACAAUCACUCAACUAAUUACAAAUUAAAAAUUAGGGUUUCAAAUUGAAACCCCCAAUUCUAAAAUUAGGGUUUAAAACUUACCCAAUUCAAACUUUAACCUCCGAAUUAGCUCUAAACUCUGACUUGAACUCCGACUUGAGCUCCGACGACCCUCUAACUUUUAACCUUUAACUCCCGACUGGAACUUCGACAGAGAGAGAGUAGACAGCCCAAAGAGAGAGAGUAGACAGCCAAGAGAGAGCAGACAGUAGUGGGAAGUGAGUUUAGCAGUGAGGUGAGAGUGAGUUCUUCGGUCGACAAGAUCGAGUGAGAGAGGAGAUCGAGUGAGAGACAGCAGUGGUUUACGAUUUUUGAUUUUAUGUUUUAUGUUUUAUGUUUAUGUUUUAUGUUUUUGAUUUUGAUUUUGAUUUUAUUUUUAAUUUUUGAUCCACAUCAAAAAUAAAGGGGGGGGGGAUUUUGCUAAGGCAAAAAACGAGGGGAAUUUUUAGGAGGGAAUGAAUUAUUUGGCUAAGGGGGGAAAACGGGAAACGCGCGCUUCUUAAAUUUUUAAAACAGACUUAUAACAUCAGUUCUUCUAAAACACCGAUGUGUAUAUUAACCAAAGACAACAGUCGUUCAAAACCGAUGUGAGAAAACCCUUUUACAUCGGCUCCAGGAGCAACUGAUGUCUAAUAGGCGAUGUCUAUUCUACUUUUUCUAGUAGUGAAACGUAAAUGCACAGGCUACAUACAUAAUUAAUCACAAAUUGCAAGAUAGUGCCGCUUGGAUGCAUCCUCUCACAGUGUUUUGAAUUAAAUAAAUGUGAUUCAACAAGAUAUAACACAAUAGUAUCAACAAUAUCUGGAUUCCUAAUGCCCAUUCAUUGUUAAUUUUCGAGACUGUUUGGUUUCCCUUUAUUAUCUCUAUCCAACAAGCAAUGGUAUCUAAUGACAAUCGAAAGCUUUCCAUAGACAUACAGAAAUCAAAAAGCAGUUUACUUUUCUAAUUAACUUCUACAUUAUACUACGAGAAAUAGGGUGCUCAAAACUAACACAAAAUAGUAUCACAAUAUCUGGAUUCUUAAUGCCCAUCCAUUGUUAAUUUUCAAGACUGUUUGGUUUCUCUUUAUCAUCUCUAUCCAACAAGCAAUGAUCUCUUACAACAAUAGAAAGCUAAAGUAUUUCCAUAGACAUACAGAAUCAAAAAAUAGUUUCCUUUUCUAAUUAACUUCUACAUUAUACUACAAGAAAAAGGGUGCUCAAAACUAACACAAAAUAUUCCAAUACAGCUAACCAACACAAUCACGAUAUGUUCAAAACAGACCACAAUUACCAAAGGUCGUUCAAAACUAAUCACAAAUUACCCCUAUCCAGUGACAAAAUAUUCCAAUACAGCAAACCAACACAAUCAAGGGCACGAUCUCCCAGUUAUCGCAUAUAUGUUAAAAACAGACUACAAUUAAAUGAGAUUUAGCUAGUCAAUUAAACAAGCCUUUCAUUACAGAUCAGAAUUUUACCCACUGAGGCAGUAAUAGAACAUAGUUUUGUUUUUCUGGAGCAUUUUCUUCAUUAUUUACUGAAACAAAAAAUUCGAUAAUUAGCGAGUUUCAUAUCAGAUAAAUUAGCUAUAAAACAGUCGGAAUUGAGAAAUCUAGGGCUUAAAAACACGAAAUAUAUACCUGUUUUUGGGCUUCGAAAUGGAUAACAUAACGAUUUUGAAACAUCGAUCCAGCGAUUCAGCACUGAAUUAUGAAAACACUCAAACACGCACGAUUAUUAUCGAUCGACGCGGUGUGCCCUAGUCUAAUUGGGCAGACGACGCCUUAACGUGCACGAGGAGUUUACAGGUGAUUUUAUACCUAAAACAUAUGGGCUAGGGUUUCUUAUGAAUAAUCUGAAUGGGCUUUUUUUAAGUGAUGGGCUAGGGUUUAAUCUGAAUAAUGGGAAUGGGCUUUUUUUAAGUGAUGGACUGUUAUUGUGAUUGUUCAUAAACACGUUUGACUGUUUUUAUUUUGAAUUGAUUUUCUUCACUAAAUCAUGGAUCAAGUUCUCCGUAGUUUAAAAAUUUAAAAAAUGUUGAAAGUUUUGAUAUUUAAGCAAAUUUAUUUUAAAAUAUAUGAUAAUAAGUCCAUUUAUAAAAAAAAUAAUAAAUUUAAAUUUAAAUAUUAAAAUAUGUAUUAUAGUCUCGGAUAUAAAUAUGAUCAUAGUCUCGGAAAAAAAAGUAAGUCUUUUUGUAUAUCAAAAUAUUUGAAAUGAAUUUUUAAAUUCUAAUUUGAUAUUUAUUAAUGUAGGCAGUUUUUAUUUUUGAUAUAUUGGAAAAAGUAGUUUUGAAACUUUCCUCCAAUAUCUCCGAAACUGAAAAAAGGUAAUUUUUAUUUUUGAUAUUUUCAAAAUUAAAAAUAUAAUUCUAUACUUUAUUUCAAUAAUUUUGAUACAGAAAAAGGUAGGUAGAUUUUAUUUUUGAUAUACUGAAAAUGAUAGUUCUAAAACUUGCUUCUAAUAUACCCGAAACUAAAAAAGGUAGUUUUUAUUUUUGAUAUUUUUCAUCCAAAAAUUUCAGAAAAUUGGAGGAAAAAAAGUAAGUUUUAUUCGAUAUCAAAAUAAUUGAAAAGAAAUUUCAAAUUCUGAUUUGAUAUUUAUUAAGUUAGUUAGUUUUUAUUUUUGAUAUAUAGAAAAAUGAGGUUUUGAAACUUUCCUUCAAUAUCCGAAAUUGAAAAUGGUGAUUUUUAUAUAAAAAAAAAGUAAUGUAGAUAGGUAGAUUUUAUUUUUGAUAUUUUGAAAAAGAGUUCUAAAAUUUACUUCCUCGCGUAAUAUAUUAUUUAUGGUCCAAGAGGCAUAAUCUGCUCCCUCGGAGUUGAGUCCAACCUGUGACCAAGGAUACAAGCCUCCGCUUUUAACCUAGUUGAACCAACUUUUCUGGCAAAAGAUGUAUUUGAUAUGGGGCUAAAAAUGCAAAAACCAAAACGAAAAUGAAAUAUAUUUGAGGCAUAUGGUCGAAAAGCUUGAACAUGUUGUGAGACUCUUUUAUAUAUUUCUAAAUUAUAAAAAAAUCGUGUUUUUCAGGCUGCUUCUAAUAUACCCGAAACUAAAAAAGGUAGUUUUUAUUUUUGAUAUUUUUCAUCCAAAAAUUUCAGAAAAUUGGAGGAAAAAAAGUAAGUUUUAUUCGAUAUCAAAAUAAUUGAAAAGAAAUUUCAAAUUCUGAUUUGAUAUUUAUUAAGUUAGUUAGUUUUUAUUUUUGAUAUAUAGAAAAAUGAGGUUUUGAAACUUUCCUUCAAUAUCCGAAAUUGAAAAUGGUGAUUUUUAUACAAAAAAAGUAAUGUAGAUAGGUAGAUUUUAUUUUUGAUAUUUUGUAUCACCAUCAAAAUGAGAUCAUUCAUCUUUUUAUCACCGUCAUAAUUAAAUUUGGAAGAUAUAAAGUUCUCAUAUUGACUUGCAUGGGAAACUGGGAGCUCAUACUAAGACUCCUAUAUUCUUUUAUAUUUGUAAAAUUAGGUGUGAAGACCGCGUGAAGUAAAAACAUUUUUCGAGAGCAUGCACAUUAUCAAAACAAAUAAGCUGUUUGUUUAUAAUCUUAAAUAACAAUAUUAGUUGUUAUAUUAUCAUUUUUAUCACAAGUUCCCAAACUGCUUGCAAGUUGGGAAAGUUUCCUGAAAAGGAAUCUGUUCUGCUUUUCUUCCAAGUAUUAUAUCACACUCUCAUUCUUUCAUUUUCAUGUCAGCAAUAACAAUGGAAAAUAUGCUUUGGCAAUACUGAUACCAUUCAAGCUGAGGUGUACCAGAGUAGAUAAAUUCAAUAACCAACCAAAUAUGCCACCUUGUAGAAUACCAGUGUGGCCGAGAUUAAGCUGCUGUAAUUUGAAAAGAUUACCAAGCUGAUGUUGAAUGGCUCCAGAAAAAAGGUUAUCAAAGAUCGAGGUAUGUGAAGCUGGUGAAAGAAGGAAUGAAAACAAAAUAAAAAACUUUAAAAUUGCAAAUUUAAACUUUUACAUUAAAGAUAACACAUUUGUCUAAAAGUUGAGAACCAAAUAAAUAGCAGCUUAUACAAUAUCUUAAUCAAGACAAGACAAUUUUUGUCCACCAUUAUCCUACAAUUUGCAAAGCCUCAAAGGCUGCUCACACUAAAAGAAGUCCCAAAACAUUUCAUAAAUUUUUAAGUUAAAGUAGUUGAAGUACAUCCUCUGUUUUCUCUGAGCAAACAUCAUCUUUUGUAUUUGGAUUUUAAAGGUGUGCUCUAUCUCUCGCUUUCACAGAGCAUUUCUCUCAGUAAUACAACGGCCUCCAUAACAGAAAAUUCUUUCAUCCAUUUGGCCACCCCUUCGCCAAAUUUGUCUGCCCAAUAUAUUUCGGAUCAAUGGCCAUAAAAAUCUUUACGCAACUCCUAAAACCAUCUUCGAAGGCCUCUUUUAUUUUUUUGUUUCUCAACAGCUCAAUUGUUGGCCCUGUCGAGUGACGCCAAUGCAAGAACAUCCUUGAAAGCUCACAGGCCUAGAACUGAAAACAAUCUUAUAAAUAAAAAGAUAUUCUUUAAAACAUUAAACUUUAUCUCUACAAGAAUAGUCUAUUUCUAUGUGUAAUCACAAUUUAUUACGAUUACGAACUAACAAUAUAUAAGCAGACAAACUUAGGCACAUCGUCAUAGAAUGAACAACAAAGUUAUACAACUUAUUUAAAAACAUCAGUUGGGAAAAGCAGUAUAAAGAGGUAGAGACUUGGUGGCCUCAGAUAAAGGACGUUGUGCGAAUAUAACCUGGCUUUCUACUUGCUGGCACCAUAGUGGUGAAUUGAGCCAUUUCUCACCAAAAUCUUACUUGCAAAUUUGCUAGCUAUUAAUACAUUUAAUGGUUGAAUAUUCUUUAUUAGAUUGUAUUCUAAUAAUUAACUUGUGUUUUAUCCUUUAUUAUACAUAAAGAUAAUAUUUAGAAGUAAUUUGUGAAAAUUCCAUUGACUCCUGUUUCACACUGUGCCCACUUACAGGACUUGUUCUAGGGAAAGUGACUUGUGCCUCCAAGCAUUUCAAGCUCAAACUAUGAAGCCCAAAUAAUAUAGCAGGCAAGUAGCUUACUAUAUGUCGCAGUAAAGACAAAUAGACAAUGCUACUAUGCCGGAAAAAAUUGCAAGGGCACUCGCAAAGGAUCAGAUAUACCUAAUGCAGAAUAACCCGAAGGAGGAAGUUCAUUAUUCACCUCGAUACUCAGUUAACAGUUUUUAACUUAUAGAAAACCAACAACUUCAAGCAGAAAAAGAUCAGGUAGAGCAAUAGUAGCUAGUUGAUGCAAAAAUUAAAUGCCUCAAAGAGUCUGAUACGAAGUUAGUUAAGUGUGUGGCUGUGUGCAUAUGUGGAGAGAGUUACCAUAGCAUAUAGCAAGGAUAAAGAAGCUUAUCAAUUCAUUCUAUCAAGCAAUAAUAAUUCAGCUUACCUGAAUUCAUAAGCGGAAGUACAAAGAAAAGUUCAGAGAGUCCCACGAGAGAAUGAAUCGUGUCUGAACUGAUUGCCCAUACAAGAUCUCCCUGAAAAGAAGAUUGAAGUCCGAGAAAUGACACAAUAAAUGAGAAGAUUUCUAUCAUAAAUCACAAGUGCUUGUAAAAUAAAAUUGCAUGUGGAAUGACUAAGCUGCAACUACGUAUUACCUUGAGCUGCAAAAACAUUUCAUAUGUGAAUACAAGAAACAAAUGACAACUAUUAUUAGCAAGGCAUGAACACACAAGUCCCCUUAAAGUAAGUUGAAAAAAAUAAUCACCGCCUGUGGAAUGUAACGAUGGCUCUUGCGCUUAGGUUGGUGAACUGCUGCUGAGGAGCAGUCACUUAGAACAGUCUCCACUUGCGCUGGAGGUUUGUUUUUGAGCAUACAGCUGGAUGCCUGGAUUUUCCUCACCUUUCCUUGCCUCUGUCAAAUCUAAGACUUUAUCCUAAUCAUCACCGAUUAAAAAAUCAAAAUCCACGAUAAAUUAAGCAUCAAAACCCUAAUGAAACACAGACACCAAUUCAAAUACACAUAGAAAUUGAUAAAGACAACGAACUGCGCAUACAUAAAAAUCUGCUGCUAUGCUCUCCGGAUAAAUCAGAAGGAGAUAACUGCCCACGACUAUGAUCAUAUAACAUAAAUCAACCCUGAAAAUCAGCAAGAAUAACAUACAUACCCGCUUUGACCCUCUAGCUGAAUCCGUCAUAUUCAUGCCGAUCGGCUUUCCCCGGUGUGAAAAGAUUGUCCAGAGAAGGCCAUUUAUAAGUAAAUCUCUGAGGAGGCACAGAGACCUCAGUUACGGAGCGGGUAACUGAAGUGCCUGUCCAAGUCCCAGGCUGAACAUAACCGCUAGGCAAGCUGAGAGAAAAUAUAAAAGAAAUAGCCAAAAGUGCAGAGAGUAGGGAUUUUGAUUCAAGAGCGUAAAGAGCGCCACGUAAGACGCCCGCGAUUUUGCUUUAUAUAGAUAUAAGAUUUGACAUUCUUUAGUAUAAAAUUUUAAAAAUAAUAUUAAUUACAUAUACGUCAAGUGAGUAGCAUGUAAACUAUGAAUUUUUUUACAAAGUGCUGAAUCGAUCCUCUGUCAUCACACAAACGUAUUAUAUACAUUAUAUAGGUAAAUAAAUAAACAGACAAAUAUAAAAACUACUUGAGUAACUUAGAUUUUAAGUCUUUUGAGCAUUGAUGUUACAUAGAAAUAAGAAUAAGACAAUAUGGUAAGGAAUACAUUGGUAGGUUCAACUACUUGGAAAAAAAUCAUCUACAUUGCCAGCUUUUAACUUAGUUCUUGCAAUUUCAAAAGUUCCCGAUAUGUCGCGUUGCUUUAUCUUCAACGAAAUAACCAAGUAGACAAGCAGCAGCUUCUUAAUAGCAGAUAAGUAGCAGAUUAGCCAGCCUUAGUUACUGUUUUCCAUCUUUUUGGAGCAUCAUCUUCAUUGUUUACUGCAAGAAGAAAUUUGAAAACCAGUGAAUUGAAUACUAGAAAACUUAAUAGAUUUUCAAGUACAUUAUAACUAUAUAACAAGCAUACCUUCACCAUCUCUGAGCCAUACGUAUCCCAGAUAUUAAACGAGAUAAUCUUCACGUGAAAAAGAUUGUACUGAGUUUGUUUUACAAUACCUCAAAGUGUGUACGAAAACAUACCUUUAAAAAGAAGUAAAGAUAUAUCACAAACUAAUAACUUUCAACCAAACUAUACAAUAUACUACGACAGAAAGUUUAAUACUCCCUCUGUCCCGGUUACAUUUUAACCGACUUUGACUUUUUAACACGUAUAUUGAGAUGCAAAAAAAUAAUAUCUACACUGAAUAAAAAAAUUCAAUUCUUAUACCAAAUAAUAGUUUAGAUUCUAAACGUUUAAUUGAUAUGAAUUUUAUAAAGAAUUAUUAUGUUUACAUGUGAUUUUCCUAACACCUUAAAAUACAUGUAAAAAAGUCAAAAGCAGUUAAAAUGAGACGGAGAGAGCAUAUAGAACAAGAUAUUUGUGUGCACAUAAAGUCUCUUACCUCAACAAUAUUUCCUCUAGGAAGGCCGACACCCAAUGCAAUGUCCAAUGUCAGACAACCACUUGGAAAAGAGUCACUGCAGUAGACCAAAUUGGAGAACAGGGCAAUUUGUAAGUAAUGAAAACUUAGAGUGUGUGCUUGUUCAUUUCUAUCGAAGUGAUUUAAAGAAAGAUAAGGAAAAGUUCACAUUGCAGACAGCACAUUCGAAAUUUCGAACAGCAUUUAUUAAAUGCAAAUAGAAUUGGAAGAAGUCUACAUUAAUAGUAUUUGAACACAUACACAAGAGAUCCACCAGCAUUGCCUAAUCUUGUUACAGCUCCAUUUCCAAAUGAGUUAUUAAUGUCAUUCAUAGCUGCUUCCAAUGCUUUCGCCUGUAACAAAAUAUUUACAUCAAAUAUGGACAUUAGAUUAGUUUUGAUUAUGGUCCAUGAAAUAAAUUGUAACAUUCCUCAUUUCCACAUUGUUUGACUUAUGAGCUAAUUUAUUUUUAGACAUCCAUCUUCUUCUUGAAUUGUAUAAUAUCCUAUCAAGUUGAUUAAUCCAAGAACUGUAGUCUGUAGGUGUUUCCCAUAAGAACCUGAGGCAUAUUUGACAUCUUACGUUCUUUCCUAAUCACGGUGCUUCUUAAAGAAUAAUAUUACCUGACAAGAUUAUGAAACUCAGAAAGUAAAGCACCGCAUAUUAUAUCACUAUUUAAGGACUCACCUUCUUUCAAAACUCCACCCAGCUCUAUCAAUUUAGGGUAUAAUAUAUGAUGAAUGCAAUCCCUGUUUACGACUCCUAAUAAUAAUAACAAUGCCGAUGCCUUCUACACCAAGAGUGUGGGAUAGUUCAUAGGAAGUGAAUCAUAUACAGUGAAUCCAAUUCCGUACAUAUCAGACUACUUCAGAUAAACUGGCACAAGCACGGAUAUAGUUGCAACUUUAUCAUUGGAGUACUUUUAACUAAAUCAUCCCUUGCACUAUAAGUCAUAAUAACAAAUUACCUUCUUGGUUAUCUUUUGUACAAGUGGUAUUGCAAGUGUUUUCAGAUUAAAAGCUAAGAGAAAACACCUUUAAAGUUAAAUUCUCAAAUUUUUAAUAUUUAAUCAAUGAUGGACAACAAAAACCAAUAUGAUGAUUAAUUCCUAACAACAAUCAAAAGUGCAGAGAGCAGGGAUUUUGAUUCAAGAGCGUAAAGAGCGCCACGUAAGACGCCCGAGAUUUUGCUUUAUAUAGAUAUAAGAUUUGACAUUCUUUAGUAUAAAAUUUUAAAAAUAAUAUUAAUUACAUAUACGUCAAGUGAGUAGCAUGUAAACUAUGAAUUUUUUUUACAAAGUGCUGAAUCGAUCCUCUGUCAUCACACAAACGUAUUAUAUACAUUCCAUUAAAUGGGUUGCCAGCCUUUGGGUUCUUUUGCCUCAUAUCAGCUGCAUGACCACUGGACACAAAGAGUACAUUGGACAUAUAAAGCUUGUUAGAGAGAUAAAGAUUGACUGUCACGAUUUUGCAUAUACUGUAUGAAGUUUGUACAUGUAACAAAUAAUUUUUGUUGUCUGACAAAUAUCAAGCAAAGUGGGAAUUCCGGAAUGAUAAUGUUGGCAUUUCUCGUUGUCCACUUUGAGGCGGGUUUGGUAGAACUACUGUUUUCCCUUGCCAACCUGACAUAAUGAAUUUCAAUAUUUCACGAAUUACAUAUUCUAUGCAUUAAUUAAAAAAUUGACAGAUAUGAGAGUACUUAAAUAUUAAUAUAUGUGCUCUUAGAUAUCACAACAAAUAAAGUUCAUAUGGAAACUUAUAAAAGUAAAUGCACAACAUACAUAUAUAAUUGAUCCCAAUUGCACGAUAGCGCUGAUUCAAAUGGAUCCUCCCUCGAUGUUUUAAUUUAAAUAAGAGGCCAUUUGGAGACAUGCAUUUCAUUUCAAAUGACAAGAUUUAAGUUGUCAUCUCCAACACUCAAAUUUAUACAAAUAUUUGAAUGUCUGGAUUUCAAAUGAAAUCCAAAUCCACAUUCCCAAACAGAUUAUUUGAUCAAAUCCAAAAUUUCAAAUGAAAUCCAAUUUCCCAAACAGGCCAUAAAUGUAAUCCAACAAGAUACAAUAAAAUCUUAUCAACAAUAUCUGGAUUCUUAAUGACCAUUAAUCGUUCAAUUUCGAGAUUAUGGCUUCCCUUUAUCAUCUCUCCAAUAAGAGAAAGUAUUUUCAUAGAUAGAGAUCGAAAUGUGGUUUAGUUUUUCAAUUACCUUCCAUAUUAUAGUACAAGAACAAGGGCGCUCAAAACUAACACAAAUUACCCACUUAUGUUAUGACAAAAUAUUCCGAUACAGCUAACCAACACAACCAAGGGCACAAUAUAUCAUAGGGUUAGUUACCAGCAUUCAAAACCCAUCAAUAAAUCUGACCACGUAUAUGUUCAAAACAGACAACAAAAAAUUCCGAUCAAGGGCACGAUCUAUCAACAGCAUAUAGCCGACCACUACCAGUUGUCACAUAUAUGUUCAAAACGGACCACAAUUAAAUUGCAUUUAGCUAGUCCAUUAAACAAGCCUUUCAUUACAAAGAUCAGAAUUUUACCCAAUCAGGCAGAUCAUUGUUUUGUUUUUCUGGAGCAUCUUCUUCAUUGUUUACUGCAGGAAGAGAUUUGAUAAUUAGUAUAUUUCAAAUUAGAUAAAUUAACUAUUAAACAAUCAGAAUUGAGAAAUCUAGGGUUUAAAACACAAAAUAUAUACCUGUUUUUAGACUUCGAAACAGAUAGCAUCACGAAACGAUUCAGCACUUUACACUCUAGAUACAUACACACACGAUUAUCAUAGAUCGUUGCGGCGAUGCCCUAAUCUAGGCGAUGCCCUAAUGUAAUUGAGAAGCUGCCGCCUUAACCUACACGACGAGUGAUUUUAUACCUAAAAAUAAAUUGGUUUAACUAAAACGCCUGGGCUUUCUUAUGAGAAAUGGACUUUUCUGUGAGUUAUUUUAUACAAGGGGCCGGCUAACCUGUGCCCUCAGGGCACAGGUUAAAAUGUAUUUAAUGCAUCUUGGUGGUAGCUGACAGCUAAUGUGAUUAUAGUUUUUUGUAACAAUACAUUAAUGACUAAUUACAUUCAAAUCAUAUUUGAUAUUUUAUUUAAUCAUAUAUUAUAUUAUAAUUUGAAUUAUUAUAUUUUUUAAGAAUAUUAAAAUAAUAAAAGACUCAUAAAUUUAUUAUUAAAUAUUAGAUUGGCCGAUUUUAGUUAGAGGGCUGAUUUUAAUUUGAAAAUUAGUGUGCAUGCAGGGGGGCCUUGUUAUUAUUUGUGCGAUGAAAUCAAUUAAAAAUUAUCAUAUAAAAUGUGAUAAAAGAAUUAUUCUAUGUUCCCCCAUUUUUUUGAAAUUUAAUAUUAUUUUAUAAUAAAUAUAUAAUUUAGAAGACAAAUAAAAAAUAGAUGUAUAAUUAGUACUUAAUAAAUUUUUGAAUGAUUCUAUACAAAUACACUGAUAACUAUGCAAACACAAGAGUAGUUGACUGUAUUAAUUCCUACUUAUCCUGUGCCCUCAGGGCACAGGUUAGCCACUCCGUUUAUACAAUAUGAGAUCUGUUCCGGUGGAUCCAGACCGUGCCAAAAGAAUCCGGACUUUUCCGGAAUAGAUUAGAUCGGGCUUUUUUAAAAAUCAGGUUGGGAUGGACUUUCUCAAAAAUACUGAGCCUGGUUUACUUAUAAAAAGUCCAAAUUUUUUAAAAAUCCAAAUUUUAUCCAGAUUUUUUUGAAAAUACUAGGCUUGUUUUAGGCCUUCGGAUUGGGCCGUGCCAGCUCGGGUUUUUUUCAUAUAGGUUUUUCAAAUUUUUUCCCCAGAGAUCAAAUAUGUCCUUUUUAGCUUAGGUUAAGUGUCCAAAAUUUGUUCCCAUAUUUUUUCUCAAAUUUAUUCGAUAUUGUGUGAUUGAUUACACAUAUAAUAAUAAAUAUGCACAUAAAUCACCCAGUUAAAAUUCGUUAUAUGUCUGUCAUGUGAUUUGAAAAAAAAUAAAAAAUUUGAGGACGAAUUUUGAGGUAUGUAGUAUUUUUUUCAAACAAAAUGUCAUUGUUAAAUCAAUAACAAGGAAUUUUUAUCCUCUUCAGUUUAUAGCAUAUUUUUAUAAAUUUACAUAUAAUAAUUAUAUUUUUUAUACUUUUAUGAAAUAUAAAGAGUCGUGAAUAUUUUUUGUCAAAAAAUAGUUCUCACCGCAGUUUAACACCCCAUCACAAACAAAAAUAUCACAUGAGUCGAUAUCCACAAAUUAUAGUUAAAUUAUACACAUUUUAACUAGUCUUAAUAAUUUACAAAAAUUAUUUACAAAUUUAUUAUAUAUCAUAAGAUUGAUCCAAGCCAGUUAAGAUAGUUAAGAUGAUUUCGGUAGUAGGUUGAAUAAUAUCAAAUCAUGUUAAAAAAUAACAUAGAAAAUUUUUACGUAUUCAAUCAUAAAUUUUAAAUAGAAAGAACCAUAAUCUAAUUCGGGUAAAUAUUUAUUUGGAUAUCAUUAAUUACAUAUUAUCAAAAAUCUAGUAUUUCGUUUGUAUUUCGAUUUUAUUUGGGUUAAAUUUCCGAUCCACAUAUUUUUUUUAUCAAUUUAAAUCGAUUUUCGAAUUCUAAUCAAAUUUGAUUAUAUUAUAUUUGAUAUUAGUUUUCACGUGAUUCUAAACAGAUUGGUUCAGAUGGGAUUUACAAUAUUAAUUUAUAUGCGAUUCUAAUAAGAUAUUAAUUAUUAUAUAUUGGGGUCAUGUUCAAAAGAGAACCAUUAGAGAGAGAAAACAGAACUUAAGUAUUAGUUAGGGUUAUGCAUCAGAACUUCACAUGCAAAAAUUGUGAAUAUCUAUGUAUUAUAUUUUAAAAUUAUUUUUGAACACACACAACAAUGAAAAAAAACAUAUAUUUAGAUUUAUAUCCUAAAAAUUUAUUUAAAAUUUAGGGUUUUAUAGUUCUAUUUUAAGGUCUGAUCCUUUCUUGAAUGCGACCUUUAUGUAUUAAUAUAAAAAUUUUAUUAUCUCAUUUUUGAUCACUCAAUGAAAUAACAGUACUAACUACAAAAUUUAUGGAUAUAUGUAAACAAGCAAAUUAGCUAAAAUAUCUUUGUUCUUUUCUUUUUCGAAAAGUUUGAUAUUGCCAAAUACAAAAUUUUACAACAUUAUUUGGUGAGAUUUACUUAGAUUAAUAGUUUUGUUGAUUAAUUCACAACACCAAAAUCAUAAUAAUUAAGGUCAUUUUUGACAAUUUAAAAAGCCUUUCAUUUUCUUAAUAUCGGUUAAAACCAACAUUGCCGUGAAUAAAAAUACUAAAUGAUAAAUAUUUGGUAUAGUUGAUACAUUAAUAUACGUGCAGAAAUGAAUGUAUAUACAAAUUUCACUAGAAGAUCAUAUCCAUAGUGGCAUCACUCGUUAGCCUUAUAGAUAUCAAUACAAGGACUCACACGUAUUUGAAAAAACAACUUGUAUCUAAGUUGUACUUCUGAGCAGCUUUGGUUGGGCUGAUUUGCCAAGUUACCUUUCGAAACUUCUUGAUUCCGAAGUUAUAUUUUCCUUGGGCAUUCCAUAACAGCAACAUUCCAAAGACUCGAAGACAGAAAAAAUUGCAGACCUUGCAACUGGGAAUCACUGCCUUUAUUAUCUCCGCUGCUGUUAUCGGCCUCUUGAAUUCUUUUUACAGUAUGUCUUACAGUAUUUUUGGGCAACUAAUCAUCGGCAAGAACAAUUUGUGCUCGACAAACACUGAUUUACUGAGAUAUGAUGGUAUCCCUGACACCUGAGAGUUCAAUAUUUAGGAAGUCGGGUAUCAGUUCGAUAAUUAAUACCUUACUAUAGAAUGCGGAACAGACAGUCUUAAUGAUCUAUAAAGACUUAUACCACACAAAAUUGACAGAGCAAAACAUGACCAUUUACAUUACAGUAUGCAGAGUAAAAUAAUCAAAUUUGUGAAAGAAACAAGGUAGUACGAACUAUGAAGCAAUAAUCCAAUUAUUAUGCAAAGAAACCCAUACAUAAUCUUCUAGUGGAAGACUAUCAACUUAACUGAUACAAAAUCUCAUUCUCAAAAGCCGCUUUAUCCGAAAACCAAUGCAAAAUAUUAAUUCACUCAGAAUCUUCCUGUUACAGGACUGAUUAGACAAGAGUACAGAAAUAUGCCUGUGAGAUAGAGGAAGAGAAAGGAAGGGAGGGAUAGGCUUACUCAUUUAGCUUACGAACAUCAUAUUAAAUCAUACUUCCUAUGUUCUACAACAGUAUUGGUAUAAUUAUUAAAUCAUAUUAGUGUAUAAUAUUUGCGUGCUAUAAAAGUAUUUGUAUUUUUCUACAAAAAUAUUGCAUUAUAAAAUAAUUUUCUACUAUAUUAAUAUAUGUUCCGCAGCAGUAUAACGUAGUAAUAUGUAUUUUUCUAUAAAAAUAUUGCAUUAUAAAAUAAUUUUCUACUAUAUUAAUAUAUGUUCCGCAUCAGUAUGACGUAUUUUCCUAUAAUAAUAUUGUAUAAUAAAAUCAUUUUUAAUUAUAUUAAUAUAUGUUCCGCAUCAGUAUGACGUAUUUUCCUAUAAUAAUAUUGUAUAAUAAAAUCAUUUUUAAUUAUAUUAAUAUAUGUUCCGCAGCAGUAUGACGUAGUAAUUUGUAUUGAAGAUCUUUAACAAAUAUUCUGCAGCAGUACAAGCCUAUAAGUUAUAUGAUUGAAUUAUAUAAUUUUGGAAAGUUUACAUUAAUCAUGGAAUUAAAUAUUGUCAUUUAAUGAAGGUUCUAAGGUUCUAAAAUUAAGAGGUUCUAUGUGGAACCUGACCCUGUAUAUAUAUAUAUAGGGAAGUGCUCAAAUACAAACUAAGUUAGUGUACAAACUACAAACUUAAUAUAAGCCCUUGGAUGAAUCUAAUCCAAUGGCCCCGCAGGGGCAACCACACACCAGUUAAUAUGCACCCUGCCACACAUGAUCCACAGAAUCCCCUCCAUUUUUAAUUUGAAUUUUCCCGUCAAUCGGUGAACUUUUUUUGAAAUCAGAUUUCACUGUAUUUUUGUUCAUCUCCCAACGAUUAAUUUCCAUACCAUAUGUGCUAUAUUCCGAUUUGAUUUAGAGACAUUUUAAUUUUGGUUUGUAGUUUGUACGCUAAGAAGGUUUGUACGAGAGUAAGACCCUAUAUAUAUAGUUAUUGACAUUGAUUUUAGACGAAAAAGGAAAUUGUUUUUGUUUAAACUCUAAUCAAUUUGAUUUUGUUUGUUUAAACUCUAAUCAAUUUGUUUCGUGACAAAUUCAUAUGUCGCAUUCUAGCUUUCUCAUCGGUAUUACAUUCAAUCAUACAGAUUAUUACAAACAUCGUUAAGAUAUUCUAUAUUAUGAAUUAUAUAUUUUGAACAAGCAUCGUUAAGAUUUUCAUCUAUAUUUUUUAUUUCCUUAAAAUUAAUAUAUUUAACUAAUCAUCACUUGCUUGUACAUUCAUCUAACAAUAAAAUGUUUUAUGUCUUCCAUCACUAAGAUCACAAAAACAUCCAACUUCGGCACCUAAACAAAUGCUAUAUAACCCGGAAGAAAAUUGGUCAAUUAUGAACCACUGUUCCAAAAUGCAGAAUCCUGUUUUAACACACACACAAGCUUAUUAUAUACAUUAUACAGGUCAAUAAAUAAACAGACAAAUACUAGAAAUACUUCAAGUAACUUAAUGGUUACUUGAACAUCAUCUAUUUUAAGUCUUUUGAGCCCUGAUCUUACAUAGGAAUAAGAAUAAGACAAUAUGGUUACUAGCAAAUUAGCGGGCCUUAGAUAAUUGUUUUUCAUCAUUUUGGAGCAUCAUCUUCAUUGUUUACUGCAAAUCAUCUUCCUUGUUUACUGCAAAGAAGAAUGUGAAAAUCAGUAACUUUCAUACUAGAAAAUAUAAUAAAUUUCAAGUACAUUAUAACUUAAUUAUAAGCAUACCUUCACCAUUUAUGAGCCAUCCGUCUCCCGGAUAUUAUUAAACAAAACAAUCUUUACGUGAAUAAGACUGUAUUGGGUUUGUUUUAUGGCAGGGUCGGCUAGGAGCUCAGCACAAAAUUCUAGACACCUACAUAGAGCUCGCUGAGGGAAGAUGGAACUCAUCCUUGUGCUUUGGAACAAGGUCGGAAAUUCCUAGAGGUGGUGCCAGCCUCUAGGUUCUUUUACCUCGUCAGCUGCAUAAACACAAACACUGAACACAGGGCACAGUGGACAUAUAAUAUAUCUUAGAAAAAUAAGGACGGAAAUUUCAUAAUUUUGCAUAUAUUGUAGGAAGUGUACAUAUAAAAACCAAUUUUUUUGUUAUACAAAAAUCAAGCGAAAGGUGAGGAAUACCAUCUCGAGAAAUGUUGGCAUUUCUCUUUGUCCACUUGGUGCCAAUUCUGGUAAAAUUAAUUUUAUUCCUUGCCGACCUGACAUAAUAAAUUACAUAUUCUACGCAUUAAUUAAAAAAUUAACAAUUAUGAGAGUACUUCAAUACUAAUUUAUGUCCUUUCAGAUAUCACAAUAAAUAAAGUUCAUACAGAAACCUAUAAACGUAAAUGCACAGGCUACAUACAUAAUUAAUCACAAAUUGCAAGAUAGUGCCGCUUGGAUGCAUCCUCUCAGAGUGUUUUGAAUUAAAUAAAUGUGAUUCAACAAUAUAUAACACAAUAGUAUCAACAAUAUCUGGAUUCUUAAUGCCCAUUCAUUGUUAAUUUUCGAGACUGUUUGGUUUCCCUUUAUUAUCUCUAUCCAACAAGCAAUGGUAUCUAAUAACAAUAGAAAGCUUUCCAUAGACAUACAGAAAUCAAAAAGCAGUUUACUUUUCUAAUUAACUUCUACAUUAUACUACGAGAAAUAGGGUGCUCAAAACUAACACAAAAUAGUAUCACAAUAUCUGGAUUCUUAAUGCCCAUCCAUUGUUAAUUUUCAAGACUGUUUGGUUUCUCUUUAUUAUCUCUAUCCACCAAGCAAUGAUCUCUUACAACAAUAGAAAGCUAAAGUAUUUCCAUAGACAUACAGAAUCAAAAAAUAGUUUCCUUUUCUAAUUAACUUCUACAUUAUACUACAAGAAAAAGGGUGCUCAAAACUAACACAAAAUAUUCCAAUACAGCUAACCAACACAAUCACGAUAUGUUCAAAACAGACCACAAUUACCAAAGGUCGUUCAAAACUAAUCACAAAUUACCCUGAUCCAGUGACAAAAUAUUCCGAUACAGCCAACCAACACAAUCAAGUGCACGAUCAAUCAUAAAUAUUCCGAUACAGCUAACCAACACAAUCAAGGGCACGAUCUACCAAUUAUCACAUAUAUGUUCAAAACAGACUACAAUCAUAUGAGAUUUAGCUAGUCAAUUAAACAAGCUUUCAUUACAGAUCAGAAUUUUACCCACCAGGAGAAGUUCUUAAGUGCACAAUGUCAUCAAUGUCGUCCUCAUCAUCAAUCCACCCGUAACAAGGCCUGCGUCGUUUCCUUGGAAUAGUUCCGCCUGGUGCUUGUGGAGGGAGGAUGGCCAGGGAAAGCUCGGUGUUAGUAUUACCGAGGUUGACAUCUGAGCUGAUAACAGGGGCCAUAAGAUUAACAUCACGUCCACGGGACGCUUCCAUACCUUCACCAUGGAGAACAACAUUCUCAUCAUUCUAUGUGUGUGGUGACUAAUAUCAUAUUACAUUCUGCAAUUUAAAAUUUUGCUAUCCUGACCUUUAUGUAAUAACAUUGUUUCACCAUAAAGUCAAUAUGAUUGUAUCAUACAAAUAUUGGCGAGGCAUAAACUCAACUUAUUUUUCUUAAACGAGAUGAUAAUUCUUAUAGUGUACCUGUAUUGUCAGAAUUUUACCCACUGAGGCAGCAAUAGAACAAAGUUUUGUUUUUCUGGAGCAUCUUCUUCAUUGUUUACUGAAACAAAAAAAGCAAAAUUAGCGAGUUUCAUAUCAGAUAAAUUAGCUAUAAAACAAUCGGAAUUGAGAAAUCUAGGGCUUAAAAACACAAAAUAUAUACCUGUUUUUGGGCUUCGAAACGGAUCACAUAAUGAAUUUGAAACAUCGAUCCAGCGAUUCAGCACUGAAUUAUGAAUACACUCAAACACACACGAUUAUUAUCGAUCGACGCGGCGUGCCCUAGUCUAAUUGGGAAGCCGCCGCCUUAACCUGCACGAGGAGGAGUUUACAGGUGAUUUUAUACCUAAAACAUAUGGGCUAGGGUUUCUUAUGAAUAAUCUAAAUGGGCUUUUUUAAGUGAUGGGCUAGGGUUUAAUCUGAAUAAUCGGAAUGGGUUUUUUUUAAGUGAUGGACUGUUAUUGUGAUUGUUCAUAAACACGUUUGACUGUUUUUAUUUUGAAUUAGAUGAUGGUGAAAAGCUUCGUGGCGAUAUAUACUGAUUUUCUUCACUAAAUCAUGGAUCAAGUUCUCCGUAGUUUAAAAUUUUUAAAAAUGUUGAAAGUUUUGAUAUUUAAGCAAAUUUAUUUUAAAAUAUAUGAUAAUAAGUCCAUUUAUAAAAAAAUAAUNUCCGUAGUUUAAAAAUUUUAAAAAUGUUGAAAGUUUUGAUAUUUAAGCAAAUUUAUUUUAAAAUAUAUGAUGAUAAGUCCAUUUAUAAAAAAAAAAUUUAAAUUUAAAUUUUAAUAUUAAAAUAUGUAUUAUAGUCUCGGAAAAAAAUAUGAUCAUAGUCUCGGAAAAAAAAGUAAGUCUUUUUCUAUAUCAAAAUAUUUGAAAUGAAUUUUUAAAUUCUAAUUUGAUAUUUAUUAAUGUAUGCAGUUUUUAUUUUUGAUAUAUUGAAAAAAGUAGUUUUGAAACUUUCCUCCAAUAUAUCCGAAACUGAAAAAGGUAAUUUUUAUUUUUGAUAUUUACAAAAUUAAAAAUAUAAUUCGAAACUUUCUUCCAAUAAUUUUGAUACAGAAAAAGGUAGGUAGAUUUAAUUUUUGAUAUACUGAAAAUGAUAGUUCUACAACUUGCUUCUAAUAUACCCGAAACUAAAAAAAGUAGUUUUUAUUUUUGAUAUUUUUCAUCCAAAAAUUUCAGAAAAUUGGAGGAAAAAAAGUAAGUUUUUUUCCAUAUCAAAAUAAUCGAAAAGAAAUUUCAAAUUCUGAUUUGAUAUUUAUUAAGUUAGUUUUUAUUUUUGAUAUAUAGAAAAAUGAUGUUUUGAAACUUUCCUUCAAUAUCCGAAAUUGAAAAUGGUGAUUUUUAUACAAAAAAAAAAAUGUAGAUAGGUAGAUUUUANNNNNNNNNNNNNNNNNNNNNNNNNNNNNNNNNNNNNNNNNNNNNNNNNNNNNNNNNNNNNNNNNNNNNNNNNNNNNNNNNNNNNNNNNNNNNNNNNNNNNNNNNNNNNNNNNNNNNNNNNNNNNNNNNNNNNNNNNNNNNNNNNNNNNNNNNNNNNNNNNNNNNNNNNNNNNNNNNNNNNNNNNNNNNNNNNNNNNNNNNNNNNNNNNNNNNNNNNNNNNNNNNNNNNNNNNNNNNNNNNNNNNNNNNNNNNNNNNNNNNNNNNNNNNNNNNNNNNNNNNNNNNNNNNNNNNNNNNNNNNNNNNNNNNNNNNNNNNNNNNNNNNNNNNNNNNNNNNNNNNNNNNNNNNNNGAAUUUGAAACAUCGAUCCAGCGAUUCAGCACUGAAUUAUGAAUACACUCAAACACACACGAUUAUUAUCGAUCGACGCGGCGUGCCCUAGUCUAAUUGGGAAGCCGCCGCCUUAACCUGCACGAGGAGGAGUUUACAGGUGAUUUUAUACCUAAAACAUAUGGGCUAGGGUUUCUUAUGAAUAAUCUGAAUGGGCUUUCUUUAAGUGAUGGGCUAGGGUUUAAUCUGAAUAAUCGGAAUGGGCUUUUUUUAAGUGAUGGACUGUUAUUGUGAUUGUUCAUAAACACGUUUGACUGUUUUUAUUUUGAAUUAGAUGAUGGUGAAAAGCUUCGUGGCGAUAUAUACUGAUUUUCUUCACUAAAUCAUGGAUCAAGUUCUCCGUAGUUUAAAAAUUUUAAAAAUGUUGAAAGUUUUGAUAUUUAAGCAAAUUUAUUUUAAAAUAUAUGAUGAUAAGUCCAUUUAUAAAAAAAAAAUUUAAAUUUAAAUUUUAAUAUUAAAAUAUGUAUUAUAGUCUCGGAAAAAAAUAUGAUCAUAGUCUCGGAAAAAAAAGUAAGUCUUUUUCUAUAUCAAAAUAUUUGAAAUGAAUUUUUAAAUUCUAAUUUGAUAUUUAUUAAUGUAUGCAGUUUUUAUUUUUGAUAUAUUGAAAAAAGUAGUUUUGAAACUUUCCUCCAAUAUAUCCGAAACUGAAAAAGGUAAUUUUUAUUUUUGAUAUUUACAAAAUUAAAAAUAUAAUUCGAAACUUUCUUCCAAUAAUUUUGAUACAGAAAAAGGUAGGUAGAUUUAAUUUUUGAUAUACUGAAAAUGAUAGUUCUACAACUUGCUUCUAAUAUACCCGAAACUAAAAAAAGUAUUUUUUAUUUUUGAUAUUUUUCAUCCAAAAAUUUCAGAAAAUUGGAGGAAAAAAAGUAAGUUUUUUUCCAUAUCAAAAUAAUCGAAAAGAAAUUUCAAAUUCUGAUUUGAUAUUUAUUAAGUUAGUUUUUAUUUUUGAUAUAUAGAAAAAUAUAUAUAGUUUAAACUUUAAACCUCAUUCAUCUUUGUAUCACCAUCAAAAUGAGAUCAUUCAUCUUUUUAUCACCGUCAUAAUUAACUUUGGAAGAUAUAAAGUUCUCAUAUUGACUUGCAUGGGAAACUGGGAGCUCAUACUAAGACUCCUAUAUUCUUUUACAUUUGUAAAACUAGGAGGGGUGUAUUGGAUUGGGAUUUUAAAGCAUUUUUUUGCAUUCAUGAAAUCCGAGGGUAUUCGAUUGGGAUUGUUUGAAAUCCAUUAAAAUCUUGAGGUAUUCAAUUGGGAUUUUAAACUAUGCUACAAAAUCUAGUGGUAUUCAAUUGGGAUUUUAAAUUAUGCUUUAAAAUCCGAUGGUAUUCAAUUGGGAUUGUUUAAAAUCCAUUAAAAUCUGAUGGUAUUCAAAUGCUGAUGGAUUUUUUUUCAUUUCAUAAAAUGAUGGAUUUUGUGGCAUUCUUCAGUGUAUUUCAAGUUUUUUGAAAUCCCACCAAAUUCAAUGAGAUUUUGAAGCAUUGUACCUAAAUUCUAUCAACUCUGCGACAUUUCAUCAAGAAUCCGCAAAAAAUCAAAAUCCCAUACAAUCCAUUAAAAUCCAUAGACUAAAAACAAUGCAUUAAAAUCCCAAUCGAAUACACCCCCAUAGGUGUGAAGACCACGCGUCAGGAAAAACAUUUUUCGGGAGCACAUUAUCAAAACAAAUAAGCUGUUUGUUUAUAAUCUUAAAUAACAAUAUUAGUUGUUAUAUUAUCAUUUUUAUCACAAGUUCCCAAACUGCUUGCAAGUUGGGAAAGUUUCCUGAAAAGGAAUCUGUUCUGCUUUUCUUCCAAGUAUUAUAUCACACUCUCAUUCUUUCAUUUUCAUGUCAGCAAUAACAAUGGAAAAUAUGCUUUGGCAAUACUGAUACCAUUCAAGCUGAGGUGUACCAGAGUAGAUAAAUUCAAUAACCAACCAAAUAUGCCACCUUGUAGAAUACCAGUGUGGCCGAGAUUAAGCUGCUGUAAUUUGAAAAGAUUACCAAGCUGAUGUUGAAUGGCUCCAGAAAAAAGGUUAUCAAAGAUCGAGGUAUGUGAAGCUGGUGAAAGAAGGAAUGAAAAAAAAAUAAAAAACUUUAAAAUUGCAAAUUUAAACUUUUACAUUAAAGAUAACACAUUUGUCUAAAAGUUGAGAACCAAAUGAAUAGCAGCUUAUACAAUAUCUUAAUCAAGACAAGACAAUUUUUGUCCACCAUUAUCCUACAAUUUGCAAAGCCUCAAAGGCUGCUCACACUAAAAGAAGUCCCAAAACAUUUCAUAAAUUUUUAAGUUAAAGUAGUUGAAGUACAUCCUCUGUUUUCUCUGAGCAAACAUCCUCUUUUGUAAUUGGAUUUUAAAGGUGUGCUCUAUCUCUCGCUUUCACAGAGCAUUUCUCUCAGUAAUACAACGGCCUCCAUAACAGAAAAUUCUUUCAUCCAUUUGGCCACCCCUUCGCCAAAUUUGUCUGCCCAAUAUAUUUCGGAUCAAUGGCCAUAAAAAUCUUUACGCAACUCCUAAAACCAUCUUCGAAGGCCUCUUUUAUUUUUUUGUUUCUCAACAGCUCAAUUGUUGGCCCUGUCGAGUGACGCCAAUGCAAGAACAUCCUUGAAAGCUCACAGGCCUAGAACUGAAAACAAUCUUAUAAAUAAAAAGAUAUUCUUUAAAACAUUAAACUUUAUCUCUACAAGAAUAGUCUAUAUCUAUGUGUAAUCACAAUUUAUUACGAUUACGAACUAACAAUAUAUAAGCAGACAAACUUAGGCACAUCGUCAUAGAAUGAACAACAAAGUUAUACAACUUAUUUAAAAACAUCAGUUGGGAAAAGCAGUAUAAAGAGGUAGAGACUUGGUGGCCUCAGAUAAAGGACGUUGUGCGAAUAUAACCUGGCUUUCUACUUGCUGGCACCAUAGUGGUGAAUUGAGCCAUUUCUCACCAAAAUCUUACUUGCAAAUUUGCUAGCUAUUAAUACAUUUAAUGGUUGAAUAUUCUUUAUUAGAUUGUAUUCUAAUAAUUAACUUGUGUUUUAUCCUUUAUUAUACAUAAAGAUAUAUAAUAUUUAGAAGUAAUUUCUGAAAAUUCCAUUGACUCCUGUUUCACACUGUGCCCACUUACAGGACUUGUUCUAGGGAAAGUGACUUGUGCCUCCAAGCAUUUCAAGCUCAAACUGUGAAGCCCAAAUAAUAUAGCAGGCAAGUAGCUUACUAUAUGUAGCAGUAAAGACAAAGACAAUGCUACUAUGCCGGAAAAAAUUGCAAGGGCACUCGCAAAGGAUCAGAUAUACCUAAUGCAGAAUAACCCGAAGGAGGAAGUUCAUUAUUCACCUCGAUACUCAGUUAACAGUUUUUAACUUAUAGAAAACCAACAACUUCAAGCAGAAAAAGAUCAGGUAGAGCAAUAGUAGCUAGUUGAUGCAAAAAUUAAAUGCCUCAAAGAGUCUGAUACGAAGUUAGUUAAGUGUGUGGCUGUGUGCAUAUGUGGAGAGAGUUACCAUAGCAUAUAGCAAGGAUAAAGAAGCUUAUCAAUUCAUUCUAUCAAGCAAUAAUAAUUCAGCUUACCUGAAUUCAUAAGCGGAAGUACAAAGAAAAGUUCAGAGAGUCCCACGAGAGAAUGAAUCGUGUCUGAACUGAUUGCCCAUACAAGAUCUCCCUGAAAAGAAGAUUGAAGUCCGAGAAAUGACACAAUAAAUGAGAAGAUUUCUAUCAUAAAUCACAAGUGCUUGUAAAAUAAAAUUGCAUGUGGAAUGACUAAGCUGCAACUACGUAUUACCUUGAGCUGCAAAAACAUUUCAUAUGUGAAUACAAGAAACAAAUGACAACUAUUAUUAGCAAGGCAUGAACACACAAGUCCCCUUAAAAUAAGUUGAAAAAAAUAAUCACCACCUGUGGAAUGUAACGAUGGCUCUUGCGCUUAGGUUGGUGAACUGCUGCUGAGGAGCAGUCACUUAGAACAGUCUCCACUUGCGCUGGAGGUUUGUUUUUGAGCAUACAGCUGGAUGCCUGGAUUUUCCUCACCUUUCCUUGCCUCUGUCAAAUCUAAGACUUUAUCCUAAUCAUCACCGAUUAAAAAAUCAAAAUCCACGAUAAAUUAAGCAUCAAAACCCUAAUGAAACACAGACACCAAUUCAAAUACACAUAGAAAUUGAUAAAGACAACGAACUGCGCAUACAUAAAAAUCUGCUGCUAUGCUCUCCGGAUAAAUCAGAAGGAGAUAACUGCCCACGACUAUGAUCAUAUAACAUAAAUCAACCCUGAAAAUCAGCAAGAAUAACAUACAUACCCGCUUUGACCCUCUAGCUGAAUCCGUCAUAUUCAUGCCGAUCGGCUUUCCCCGGUGUGAAAAGAUUGUCCAGAGAAGGCCAUUUAUAAGUAAAUCUCUGAGGAGGCACAGAGACCUCGGUUACGGAGCGGGUAACUGAAGUGCCUGUCCAAGUCCCAGGCUGAACAUAACCGCUAGGCAAGCUGAGAGAAAAUAUAAAAGAAAUAGACAAAAGUGCAGAGAGCAGGGAUUUUGAUUCAAGAGCGUAAAGAGCGCCACGUAAGACGCCCGAGAUUUUGCUUUAUAUAGAUAUAAGAUUUGACAUUCUUUAGUAUAAAAUUUUAAAAAUAAUAUUAAUUACAUAUACGUCAAGUGAGUAGCAUGUAAACUAUGAAUUUUUUUUACAAAGUGCUGAAUCGAUCCUCUGUCAUCACACAAACGUAUUAUAUACAUUAUAUAGGUAAAUAAAUAAACAGACAAAUAUAAAAACUACUUGAGUAACUUAGAUUUUAAGUCUUUUGAGCAUUGAUGUUACAUAGAAAUAAGAAUAAGACAAUAUGGUAAGGAAUACAUUGGUAGGUUCAACUACUUGGAAAAAAAUCAUCUACAUUGCCAGCUUUUAACUUAGUUCUUGCAAUUUCAAAAGUUCCCGAUAUGUCGCGUUGCUUUAUCUUCAACGAAAUAACCAAGUAGACAAGCAGCAGCUUCUUAAUAGCAGAUAAGUAGCAGAUUAGCCAGCCUUAGUUACUGUUUUCCAUCUUUUUGGAGCAUCAUCUUCAUUGUCUACUGCAAGAAGAAAUUUGAAAACCAGUGAAUUGAAUACUAGAAAACUUAAUAGAUUUUUCAAGUACAUUAUAACUAUAUAACAAGCAUACCUUCACCAUCUCUGAGCCAUACGUAUCCCGGAUAUUAAACAAGAUAAUCUUCACGUGAAAAAGAUUGUACUGAGUUUGUUUUACAAUACCUCAAAGUGUGUACGAAAACAUACCUUUAAAAAGAAGUAAAGAUAUAUCACAAACUAAUAACUUUCAACCAAACUAUACAAUAUACUACGACAGAAAGUUUAAUACUCCCUCUGUCCCGGUUACAUUUUAACCGACUUUGACUUUUUAACACGUAUAUUGAGAUGCAAAAAAAUAAUAUCUACACUGAAUAAAAAAAUUCAAUUCUUAUACCAAAUAAUAGUUUAGAUUCUAAACGUUUAAUUGAUAUGAAUUUUAUAAAGAAUUAUUAUGUUUACAUGUGAUUUUCCUAACACCUUAAAAUACAUGUAAAAAAGUCAAAAGCAGUUAAAAUGAGACGGAGAGAGCAUAUAGAACAAGAUAUUUGUGUGCACAUAAAGUCUCUUACCUCAACAAUAUUUCCUCUAGGAAGGCCGACACCCAAUGCAAUGUCCAAUGUCAGACAACCACUUGGAAAAGAGUCACUGCAGUAGACCAAAUUGGAGAACAGGGCAAUUUGUAAGUAAUGAAAACUGAGAGUGUGUGCUUGUUCAUUUCUAUCGAAGUGAUUUAAAGAAAGAUAAGGAAAAGUUCACAUUGCAGACAGAACAUUCGAAAUUUCGAACAGCGUUUAUUAAAUGCAAAUAGAAUUGGAAGAAGUCUACAUUAAUAGUAUUUGAACACAUACACAAGAGAUCCACCAGCAUUGCCUAAUCUUGUUACAGCUCCUUUUCCAAAUGAGUUAUUAAUGUCAUUCAUAGCUGCUUCCAAUGCUUUCGCCUGUAACAAAAUAUUUACAUCAAAUAUGGACAUUAGAUUAGUUUUGAUUAUGGUCCAUGAAAUAAAUUGUAACAUUCCUCAUUUCCACAUUGUUUGACUUAUGAGCUAAUUUAUUUUUAGACAUCCAUCUUCUUCUUGAAUUGUAUAAUAUCCUAUCAAGUUGAUUAAUCCAAGAACUGUAGUCUGUAGGUGUUUCCCAUAAGAACCUGAGGCAUAUUUGACAUCUUACGUUCUUUCCUAAUCACGGUGCUUCUUAAAGAAUAAUAUUACCUGACAAGAUUAUGAAACUCAGAAAGUAAAGCACCGCAUAUUAUAUCACUAUUUAAGGACUCACCUUCUUUCAAAACUCCACCCAGCUCUAUCAAUUUAGGGUAUAAUAUAUGAUGAAUGCAAUCCCUGUUUACGACUCCUAAUAAUAAUAACAAUGCCGAUGCCUUCUACACCAAGAGUGUGGGAUAGUUCAUAGGAAGUGAAUCAUAUACAGUGAAUCCAAUUCCGUACAUAUCAGACUACUUCAGAUAAACUGGCACAAGCACGGAUAUAGUUGCAACUUUAUCAUUGGAGUACUUUUAACUAAAUCAUCCCUUGCACUAUAAGUCAUAAUAACAAAUUACUUGCCAACAAGUUAGAAUCUCCAGAAUGCACCAUUCCAAAUAACUAAAAUAAGAGCAAAAUUAUAUACUUCAACAACUAAUUAACGACCAAAAAAUUAUGGCUAGGAACAGAACACAGUAAACAGAAUACACAAAAUAACAAAUAUAUAUCACAUUUCCACAAUAACAAUUAACAUAAGCUGAUUACAUUACCGUAAAAAAACACAUAAAACCCUUCCAACUCUAAUAUACUUCUACUUCUAUCCCUAUCAAACAACACCUCAAAUGUUCUUCGCAUAUAAUUCCUACAUUUUUUGCUAUAAAUUACCCUACAGCACGACGAAGAUGCCCGGCCUGUGAUCGCAUAAUUGGGACCGUGUAUUGGGACGAGGAUAAAAAGAACAUCAUCGGUGUACCAGUUUCUUUCAGACAAAAGUGGAAGCGUUAAGCUCCUUUAAUAGGUCUUAGCAGAAAUGUAAUUAAAAAAUAACUGGGGUAUACUUGUCAUUUCACAAGUAUUAUUUAGGCAUAUUUUUCCCGUGGUUGGCUUAUUAUAUAUAGAAGUAGAUUGUUCUCGCCAAUUCAGUGGUGCGGAUAAAAAUGUUUGAUUCUUCUACAUACAUACCAAAAUUUAAUAUUUUUAUAUUAAUUCCCUAAUUUUUCUAAAUUAAUAUAUUUAUCAAUUCACAGUUUCAGAAUUAAUAUAUUUAUAAAUUUCUUGUACAUUAAUCAAUACUAUGUUCUCUGUUCUUCCACCAAUAACUUCACGAAAACAUUAACUUUGGCACCUAAGCAAAUCCUACAGAAAUCUGUAGACAACUGGUAAACUAAGAAAAAUCAUUCCAAAGUACAGACUCGAUCUUGGGUUAACAAACACAUAUUAUACAUCGUUUAGCUCAAUAAAUAAAUAGACAAAUAUAAAAACUACUUCAAGUAACUUGCACGUGCUGAACAUCAUCGAUUUUAAGUCUUUUGAGCCCUGAUUUUACAUGGGAAUAAGUAUAAGACAAUAUUGUAAAGAAUACAUAUGCAGAACUGCAUGGAAGAAGGUUAUCACUUUUAACUCGGUUCUUGCGAUUUCAAAAGUUCCACGAUGUGCUGCUUCGUUCCUUUUAUCUUUCUCUUUGUAGAAGCCAGUUUAAUUUUCAUAUUACCUUCUUGGUUAUCUUUUGUACAAGUGGUAUUGCAAGUGUUUUCAGAUUAAAAGCUAAGAGAAAACACCUUUAAAGUUAAAUUCUCAAAUUUUUAAUAUUUAAUCAAUGAUGGACAACAAAAACCAAUAUGAUGAUUAAUUCCUAACAACAAUCUUAUCAUGUCUUUUUAGAUUACUUCAAGUAACUUGCACGUGCUGAACAUCAUCGAUUUUAAGUCUUUUGAGCCCUGAUUUUAAAUGGGAAUAAGUAUAAGACAAUAUUGUAAAGAAUACAUAUGCAGAACUGCAUGGAAGAAGGUUAUCACUUUUAACUCGGUUCUUGCGAUUUCAAAAGUUCCACGAUGUGCUGCUUCGUUCCUUUUAUCUUUCUCUUUGUAGAAGCCAGUUUAAUUUUCAUAUUACCUUCUUGGUUAUCUUUUGUACAAGUGGUAUUGCAAGUGUUUUCAGAUUAAAAGCUAAGAGAAAACACCUUUAAAGUUAAAUUCUCAAAUUUUUAAUAUUUAAUCAAUGAUGGACAACAAAAACCAAUAUGAUGAUUAAUUCCUAACAACAAUCUUAUCAUGUCUUUUUAGAAAUAAAAUGAUAUACAGGUAUGGGAAAAAAGACGCAAGAACUACAGGUUAAACUAAUAUAUUUGGGUCAAUGCAUAAUUAUAGGGAAAUUAUUUAUAUGUUAAUGAAUUAAGUAAGAAGUAGAUCUACCUUCAGCAAUUGUGUGCUCUUCUGAUGUUCUCUCGCACACAGUUCGCCGAGUCACAAGGAAUCCCUCGCAGUGGUCACAAAUUAUCUCCCAUUUAAUAGGUGCAAUUUCAUUAAAUGGGUUGCCAGCCUUUGGGUUCUUUUGCCUCAUAUCAGCUGCAUGACCACUGGACACAAAGAGUACAUUGGACAUAUAAAGCUUGUUAGAGAGAUAAAGAUUAUAUGUCACGAUUUUGCAUAUACUGUAUGAAGUUUGUACAUGUAACAAAUAAUUUUUGUUGUCUGACAAAUAUCAAGCAAAGUGGGAAUUCCGCAAUGAGAAUGUUGGCAUUUCUCGUUGUCCACUUUGAGGCGGGUUUGGUAGAACUACUGUUUUCCCUUGCCAACCUGACAUAAUGAAUUUCAAUAUUUCACGAAUUACAUAUUCUAUGCAUUAAUUAAAAAAUUGACAGAUAUGAGAGUACUAAAAUAUUAAUAUAUGUGCUCUUAGAUAUCACAACAAUAAAGUUCAUAUCAUAUGGAAACCUAUAAAAGUAAAUGCACAACAUACAUAUAUAAUUGAUCCCAAUUGCACGAUAGCGCUGAUUCAAAUGGAUCCUCCCUCGAUGUUUUAAUUUAAAUAAGAGGCCGUUUGGAGACAUGCAUUUCAUUUCAAAUGACAAGAUUUAAGUUGUCAUUUCAAACACUCAAAUUUAUACAAAUAUUUGAAUGUUUGGAUUUCAAAUGAAAUCCAAAUCCACAUUCCCAAACAGAUUAUUUGAUCAAAUCCAAAAUUUCAAAUGAAAUCCAAUUUCCCAAACAGGCCAUAAAUGUAAUCCAACAAGAUACAAUAAAAUCUUAUCAACAAUAUCUGGAUUCUUAAUGACCAUUAAUCGUUCAAUUUCGAGAUUAUGGCUUCCCUUUAUCAUCUCUCCAAUAAGAGAAAGUAUUUUCAUAGAUAGAGAUCGAAAUGUGGUUUAGUUUUUCAAUUACCUUCCAUAUUAUAGUACAAGAAAAAGGGCGCUCAAAACUAACACAAAUUACCCACUUAUGUUAUGACAAAAUAUUCCGAUACAGCUAACCAACACAACCAAGGGCACAAUAUAUCAUAGGGUUAGUUACCAGCAUUCAAAACCCAUCAAUAAAUCUAACCACGUAUAUGUUCAAAACAGACCACAAAAAAUUCCGAUCAAGGACACGAUCUAUCAUCAGCAUAAAGCCGACCACUACCAAUUGUCACAUAUAUGUUCAAAACAGACCACAAUUAAAUGGCAUUUAGCUAGUCCAUUAAACAAGCCUUUCAUUACAAGUAUCAGAAUGUUACCCAAUCAGGCAGAUCAUUGUUUUGUUUUUCUGGAGCAUCUUCUUCAUUGUUUACUGCAAGAAGAAAUCUGAUAAUUAGUGUAUUUCAAAUUAGAUAAAUUAACUAUUAAACAAUCAGAAUUGAGAAAUCUAGGGCUUAAAAACACAACAUAUAUACCUGUUUUUAGACUUCGAAACAGAUAGCAUCACGAAACGAUUCAGCACUUUACACUAUAGAUACAUACACACACGAUUAUCAUAGAUCGUUGCGGCGAUGCCCUAAUCUAGGCGAUGCCCUAAUGUAAUUGAGAAGCUGCCGCCUUAACCUACACGACGAGUGAUUUUAUACCUAAAAAUAAACUGGGUUAACUAAAAGGCCUAGGCUUUCUUACGAGUAUUGGAUUUUUCCGUGAGUUAUUUUAUAAAAGGUCCAGGUACAUGUCAUACAUAAGUCAGGGGCUUUCUUAUGAGUAAUGGACUUUUUCGUGAGUUAUUUUAUAAAGGGUCCAGGUACAUGCUAUACAGUAUACAUAAUUCAGGACCACAGCUUCUUGGCCAUUGGAUCUAGUGAUGAGGAUUAUUACAAAAUAUGUCCGGCGCAAGAAGAAAGACCCUCAACGCUUUUUAACUGUUGGACAGGAAAAAUGACCAUGUCCAUGAUUAAAAAACGCCGGACAUAACUUGUUCCGUGCUUAAAAAAUGCUAUCAUGACUCUUGAAUAUUCAUCGAACGGUCAUAAACCAGUGUGUUGGUUAAGGCUUCCUCGCAUACAUAUGUCAGGGACCAACUCCCUUUAUACAAUGUGUCGGUAGAUAGAGUAGAAAGGCUAGGAUAAAAUAAUGAGAAUUGAGAACAAAUAUGUCAUUGUUAGCUUAGCGUUAAGUGAUUACUUAUAUAAUAAUAAAUAUGUAUAUAAAUCACCCAGUUAAAAUCCGUCAUGUGGUUUGGGAAAAAUAAAAUUGAAGACGAAUUUUGAGGUACAUAGUAUUUUUCCAAACAAAAUAUCAUUAUUAAAUCAAUAACAAGGAAUUUUUAUCCUCUUUAUAUCAAGGUUUAUAGCAUAUUUUUAUAAAUUUGCACAUAAUAAUUAUAUAUAUUUUUUAUACUUUUUAUGAAAUAAAAAGAGUCGCGAAUAUUUUUUGUCGAAAAAUAGUACUCACCGCAGUUAAACACCUCAUCACAAACAGAAAUAUCACAUGAGUACCCGCAAGGGUUAGUUCAGCUGGUUAAAGAGGGGACAUGUAUUCUCUUGGUCACACACUCAUAGGUUCGAGUCCCGAAGGGAGCGGGGUUCCUACGUUAAAAAAUAUAUAAAAUAAAAAAUAAAAAAUAUAUCACAUGAGUCAAUAUCCAUAAAUUAUAGUUAAAUUAUACGCAUUUUAACUAGUCUUAAUAAUUUACAAAAAUUAUUUAAAAAUUUAUUAUAUAUCAUAAGAUAAGAUUGAUCCAAGCCAGUGAAGAUAGUUAAGAUGAUUUUGGUAGUAGGUUGAAUAAUAUCAAAUCAUGUUAAAAAAUAACAUAGAAAAAAUUUACGUAUUCAAUUAUAAAUUUUAAAUAGAAAAUACCCGAAUAUCAUGUACUUCGAACCAUAAUCUAAUUCAGGUAAAUAUUUAUUUGGAUAUAAUUGAUUAUGGAUUAUCAAAAAUCUAGUAUUUCGAUUUUAUUUGGGUUAACUUUCCGAUUCACAUAUUUUUUUUUCAAAUCAAAUCGAUUUUCGAAUUCUAAUCAAAUUUGAUUAUAUUAGAGCAUCUCCAACGACGUUGGUUAUAAUCGCUGGCUAAAUGGGACCUGUAAGACAUUAUGUAAAAUUUGCUAAACCUGUAAGAGCAUCUCCAACCAUCUAAAACCCUUUGCUAAAAAAUGAGUUGGCAUACUUAAAAUAAAAAAAUUUAGCCAACAGCUCCAAAACUCAACUCCAACCAUGCUCACCUGUUGUCUAUAAAUUUAGCCAACCUCCUAUGGAUGGCUAAAUUUGUCGAACCUCUACAGGUCUGUAAGAAAAUCUGUAAGAAGAUUAUACAUCAUUUAUUACCAUAUUGAACUGAUAUAUUAUAUUUUAACAAUUUAAAAUAUUAAUAACAUACUAUUUUUAAAUUAUAGCCAAUCAAUAUAGCCAUUACCAUUGAAGCAAAAUGUCUUACAGGUUCAGCAAAUUUUACAUAAUGUCUUAUUGGUCCAAUUUAGCCAACCAUUAUAGCCAACGCCGUUGGAGAUGCUCUAAGACAUUUUCAUUCAGUGGUAUUUGCUAUAUUGGUUGGUUAUAAUUUAAAAAUAGUAUGUUAUUAAUAUUUUAGAUUGUUAAAAUAGAAUAUAUCAGUUCAAUAUGGUAAUAAAUGAUGUGCAAUCUUCCUACAGAUUUUCUUACAGACCUGUUCGACAAAUUUAGCUAUCCAUAAGAGGUUGGCUAAAUUUAUAGACAACAGCUUAGCAUGGUUGGAGUUGAGUUUUUCGAGCCGUUGACUAAAUUUUUUUAUUUUAAGUAUGCCAACUCAUCUUUUAGCCAAAAGCUUUUAAUGGUUGGAGAUGCUCUUAUAUUUGAUAUUAGUUUUCAUGUGAUUCUAAUCAGAUUUGGUUUAGAUGGGAUUCACUAUAUUCGUUUAUAUGCGAUUCUAAUAAGAUAUUAAUUAUUAAUAUAAAAAUUUUAUUAUCCCAUUUUUGAUCACUCAAUGAAAUAACAGUACUAUACCACAAAAUUUAUGGAUAUAUGUAAACAAGCAAAUUAGCUAAAAUAUCUUUGUUCUUUUCUUUUUUGAAAAGUUUGAUAUUGCCAAAUACAAAAUUUUACAACAUUAUUUGGUGAGAUUUACUUAGAUUAACAGUUUUGUUGAUUAAAUCACAACACCAAAAUCAUAAUAAAUUAAGGUCAUUUUUGACAAUUUAAAAAACCUUUCAUUUUCUUGAUAUCGGUUAAAACCAACAUUGCCGUGAAUAAAAAUACUAAAUGAUAAAUAUUUGGUAUAGUUGAUACAUUAAUAUACGUGCAGAAAUGAAUGUAUAUACAAAUUUCACUAGAAGAUCAUAUCCAUAGUGGCAUCACUCGUUAGCCUUAUAGAUAUCAAUACAAGGACUCACACGUAUUUGAAAAAACAACUUGUAUCUAAGUUGUACUUCUGAGCAGCUUUGGUUGGGCUGAUUUGCCAAGUUACCUUUCGAAACUUCUUGAUUCCGAAGUUAUAUUUUCCUUGGGCAUUCCAUAACAGCAACAUUCCAAAGACUCGAAGACAGAAAAAAUUGCAGACCUUGCAACUGGGAAUCACUGCCUUUAUUAUCUCCGCUGCUGUUAUCGGCCUCUUGAAUUCUUUUUACAGUAUGUCUUACAGUAUUUUUGGGCAACUAAUCAUCGGCAAGAACAAUUUGUGCUCGACAAACACUGAUUUACUGAGAUAUGAUGGUAUCCCUGACACCUGAGAGUUCAAUAUUUAGGAAGUCGGGUAUCAGUUCGAUAAUUAAUACCUUACUAUAGAAUGCGGAACAGACAGUCUUAAUGAUCUAUAAAGACUUAUACCACACAAAAUUGACAGAGCAAAACAUGACCAUUUACAUUACAGUAUGCAGAGUAAAAUAAUCAAAUUUGUGAAAGAAACAAGGUAGUACGAACUAUGAAGCAAUAAUCCAAUUAUUAUGCAAAGAAACCCAUACAUAAUCUUCUAGUGGAAGACUAUCAACUUAACUGAUACAAAAUCUCAUUCUCAAAAGCCGCUUUAUCCGAAAACCAAUGCAAAAUAUUAAUUCACUCAGAAUCUUCCUGUUACAGGACUGAUUAGACAAGAGUACAGAAAUAUGCCUGUGAGAUAGAGGAAGAGAAAGGAAGGGAGGGAUAGGCUUACUCAUUUAGCUUACGAACAUCAACGGCUUGGUAAUGCAUAUGAGCCAUCUGGAGUAGCCAUUAACAUAGAUAUUGGCUACCGGUUGGAGGUUUCACCUUUUCAACACCUUAACUCCAUUUGUAGGAUAAUGGUGAAUAAAAUGUCCUAAGCAUAUUAACAUCCAACAUUAGAGCGGAAACAAGCAUAAUAGAGCACAGACAAGCAUAAUCGCAUAUCAAUAUUACAAACAUGUAAUCUGUUUUUCAUUUUCAUUGCUACAUCAAUUAAAGAUCACCUCCCAUCCUUCAAAUGCAUUAUUAAGCAACAAUAUGGUAAAACACCAAAGAGAUUUAAUCCAACCAACCUCAUUAGUUUGUGCAUUGCCGACAACAAAGUCAAAGUCGGUCCUAUUGCCCAAAUGAAACUACAAUAUUCACAAUAACAAAUAUUUAAGUCGAAAUUUACCAAAUACCAGAAUAAAAAAAAAUAAUUGGGGAUUUGUUACGGAUUGUGUCAUAUGCAAAGAACCAAGCUGAUUACAAAUUGUUGUUAUCGGCUCGGAAAGUUCAAGCCUCCAGAUACCAAAACCUAUAUUAUUAGAAUGUUAGUCGGCCAUAGAUCAUUUGUUUGCUCCAAGAAGGAAUGUUCAACAAGAUACAAUGCAGUGUUUGUUAGCUUUUCAUUAUUCAACAAGAUACAAUGGUUGUUAGCUUUACAUGUUCCCUGAUCUUUUAUUUACCUAUCCUGAAUCUACAUACUCCAUAAGCAUUUUUCGUAAGUUGUGAAUUAGGCUAAUGACAUUAAAAUAGUCACAGUAUAGAGUAGAAAUUGUGUGUUUUAGUAUAUGGUAUCCAAUCAACAAGCUUCCUAAAUUCGUGGAGAACUAGUGAGCAUAAAUUUCUUGUUCUUAUUCAAUAUCCUAACUAACUAAUUGUUACCGGUAAAAUAUGAACAGACCUGGAUUUUCUUUACUCAGAUGUUUUGGUGAAUUGAAUAAACUAGUUGAUUUUUAAUGGUUUCUAUAUCUCAUUGGUUCAUGUUAGUUUUUUAAUAUGAGUGUAUGUGUGUUUAUUUUGAUUAAGAUCUUUACAUUUGUUUCUCUAUUUGUAUAUUAAUAAAUAUGUACGUUUGUAUCUCUUCCCCUCUCUGUUCACUUCAUCCCUUUCAUCGUCCAAUCCCCUUUUGUCCAAAUCGAUGCCCUGGAAUUAAAACUUUUUAUAAUCAAGAGUUCUCCGGCACAAACCACAACACAUCAUCGAGGGGGAAGAAAUCUCAAGCAAAAUACAUCAUCGAGUGGGAAAAAUCCAGCUUAAAGCGCAAAUGACUAAUUUUGACCGACUCAAAGUGCUCAAGAUUGUCAUGGCUCAGAUCUACAGAAAUACAUUAGAAAAACAGGUGUGAUCUUUUCAAAACAUAAAAUUAUAUGAUUAUAAUUAUGUGAUUGUUUAUUGUUUUUCAUAUUUCAUGAUUAUGUAUAAUUGGGUUGUUUCGUAUCCUAUUCCGUCUUUUUUAUCUAUUUUGUCCGAAUUUGAGUCCGAAUUUGAGCAUAUUGGAUAUGUGUUAUUAAUCUUAUAUUAUAUAAUCAGUUACAUUUUAUGUGUUCUGUUUCUUCAUGUUCACGUUCGUCUCUUAGUUUUCACUAGUGCUCUUGAUGAUUGUGUGCGAUUCUUGGAUGGUGGCGGUGGAAGUGGUGUAGUGGUGACUUAAUUAGUGCGCGUUGUAAUAUUAGAUUAGAUUAUUCUGAUUGACUAUUUUUAUUGCGUGAUAUUAGUUUUAGCUUUGUAAUUUUGGAUAUGGUUAGGUUUUAAUGGUAGUAAUUGUAGAAUUUAAUUUUGGUUAUUUUUGAAUGACUAGUUGACUCUUUUAAAUUUGUUCAUUUUUGGAUUUUGACCUUUCUUUAAUUUGAAUUGUUGUGUUUUAUUAAAAGAUUAAUUGAUAGAAUCUUUAUUGCCGAUUAUUGUACUUGAAUUCCAUUAUUCAUGGGGAUCAUAAAAGAUGGCUUUAUUGUGCAUUAAUGAGGUAUUACUGCACCAUUAAUGGUUUAUUGGUGUAUACCAAAUUUAUGUUGUGAUUAGCUAAAAUCGUGAUAAAUUUGUUUAUCAAGAUUUUGUUUUGUAUUUGAUUAGAUAUAUCCUAACUAUGCUUUCAGAUUUUAAUUAUAUAUAUUUUCUUAUCUAUAUUUUAAAUAUUUAUUGACAUAAUUAUCAGUUAUUUUUUGAUAGGAUUUAUAUUUUAUUAUGUAUAUAACCAAAGAGAUCUCAUUAUCUCUUUGGUGUAGAUUUUUUAAUGAUUUGUUUUACAUAAACUUUUGUUUUUACUUUCCUUAUUCUUUAAAAGUUAUAUUAUAUUCAUAUUUUUAUUUAUGAGUUUGCUAACUCUUUUUCUACUUUUUAGAUAGUUUUAUUAUUUUUGUUGUAUGUAUGAACUUAUUAUGUUUUUAUUGUAUUUUAUUUUUUCAGGGUACGCGAGCGGAAGAUAGAAUGGCGGGACCUCUUAUGGUGUUUUCUUAUCGAACAUUAAAGUUUUAUUGUCUAAGUGUCUUCGGUCAUCUCUGCAUGUCCGAGGGUUAGAUGGUAAACUUUCUUGAACGAAAAGAACUCCUUGCGACGGAUUUUGUAUUCUGAUACAAUUCGUUAUACGAGAAAUUAUUUUGUGACAAAAAAAAAAUGUACAUUUGUAUCUCUAGUGUGUUGCCACAAGAUACAGCAUUUAUUACUGCUGCCUGUACAAAAUCCAUGCAGUCUUGACAAAAGCUAGUUAUUUGCUAAUCAGACUUAUAAAGAUUUUUAAAGAUGCAAUUGAACAAUAUGUAACCAGGUGAUUUGUUGCCACUCCGAUCAGUUGAUUUCAUGUCAUUGUAAAUAAUUUGAUUGCAGCGCUUGGCAGACCUUAAAAACAGAUAUAUCUUCCCAUUCAUCAAACUUCAACUAUAGGGGUAACAAGUGAAGUUACGAUCACAAUCACGAUACACCACAAAAGAGAAAUCAAGAUGGGGCGUUGUAAUUGGAUCAGCGCUUUGUCUUGCUCGCGCAGAUUGUCGUACUCGUGCUUUGGCAUAAAGGCUUGCUGGAGAGCGUUGCUGAAUAACGCCAUGGAUGUGUGUUGUUUGAUUUGGGGAUUAGGGUUCGGAGAUGACAAGUUAAUUGACUGUCAUGUCCUCCCUCCGUCCCAAUGAAUUGUAUACAGUUUCCUUUUUGGGACGUCCCACCAAUUGUAUACAUUCCAAAAGUAGUAAACUUUUAUAAUAUAAAACAUCAUUACACCAACUACUUUCUUCCACUGUCUUCAUUCUAUAAUAAUAUAAACACUAUUACACCCACUACUUUUCUUCACUAUCUCAAAUCUAUAAUUAAAUAUAAAUGGGUCCUAUCACUAUACUCACUUUUCACAUAAUUUUACUCAUUUUUUACCUUUUUUCCUGAUCUCCGUGUCCCUGGGACGGAGGGAGUACUUAGAACAAGUCAUGUGGUUGAUGUACCCAGUGCAUGCAUAAAUUAAUCUGAAACCGAUUUAGUCCGGUCAUAAAUAAAUCUGAAACCGACUUAAUCACGCGCAUAAAUUAAUCGGGAAUAAUAUAAAGGUCCAAAACGAAUAAUACUAAUAUUGUUUAUUAUUCUCUAAAUUUUAUUUAAUUUAUUAUUUUUGAGAUAUAAUUUUGUAUGUAUUUUUAAUUUUUAUAAAAUAUAAUUUCAUAAAUAAUUUGAUGGAAAAAUUUCUAGAUAUAAUUAAAAUUUUAAUUUCAACUAAUUUCAACUAAAAUAGGAAAAUGACAAAAUGAGUCAUGAAAUUAUAUUUUAUAAAAAUUUAAAAUAUAAAUAAGGAAAUUCUUACAACAUUAUAAACAUAUAUAUAUAUAUAUANNNNNNNNNNNNNNNNNNNNNNNNNNNNNNNNNNNNNNNNNNNNNNNNNNNNNNNNNNNNNNNNNNNNNNNNNNNNNNNNNNNNNNNNNNNNNNNNNNNNNNNNNNNNNNNNNNNNNNNNNNNNNNNNNNNNNNNNNNNNNNNNNNNNNNNNNNNNNNNNNNNNNNNNNNNNNNNNNNNNNNNNNNNNNNNNNNNNNUUGUUUAAACUCUAAUCAAUUUGAUUUUGUUUGUUUAAACUCUAAUCAAUUUGUUUCGUGACAAAUUCAUAUGUCGCAUUCUAGCUUUCUCAUCGGUAUUACAUUCAAUCAUACAGAUUAUUACAAACAUCGUUAAGAUAUUCUAUAUUAUGAAUUAUAUAUUUUGAACAAGCAUCGUUAAGAUUUUCAUCUAUAUUUUUUAUUUUCUUAAUAUAUUUAACUAAUCAUCACUUGCUUAUAUUCAUCUAACAAUAAAAUGUUUUAUGUUCUUCCAUCACUAAGAUCACAAAAACAUCCAACUUCGGCACCUAAACAAAUGUAAUAUAACCCGGAAGAAAAUUGGUAAAUUAUGAACCACUGUUCCAAAAUGCAGAAUCCUGUUUUAACACACACACAAGCUUAUUAUAUACAUUAUACAGGUCAAUAAAUAAACAGAAAAAUACUAGAAAUACUUCAAGUAACUUAACGGUUACUUGAACAUCAUCUAUUUUAAGUCUUUUGAGCCCUGAUCUUACAUAGGAAUAAGAAUAAGACAAUAUGGUUACUAGCAAAUUAGCGGGCCUUAGAAAAUUGUUUUUCAUCAUUUUGGAGCAUCAUCUUCAUUGUUUACUGCAAAUCAUCUUCCUUGUUUACUGCAAAGAAGAAUGUGAAAAUCAAUGACUUUCAUACUAGAAAAUUUAAUAAAUUUCAAGCACAUUAUAACUUAACUAUAAGCAUACCUUCACCAUUUAUGAGCCAUCCGUCUCCCGGAUAUUAUUAAACAAAACAAUCUUUACGUGAAUAAGAUUGUAUUGCGUUUGCUUUAUGGCAGGGCGGCUAGGAGCUCAGCACAAAAUUCUAGCCACCUACAUAGAGCUCGCUGAGGGAAGAUGGAUUGUGCUUUGGAACAAGGUCGGAAAUUCCUAGAAGUGGUGCCAGCCUCUAGGUUCUUUUACCUCAUCAGCUGCAUAAACACAAACACUGGACACAACACUUAGUGCAUUGCCUACAAUAUCCAAAGAUAUGGACAACAUCCAUCAAAUCAACUUACAACACAUUCUUCACACCUCAAUCAUAUAUCAUAGAACCAUCAACUAUCCGAUCAUUCUCACGAUUGCACUACCAACACAAAAACAAGUCUGAAACGACUUCAAGCAAUACACAAACCCUUAAUUUAUACCCACACAAGCAUUCACAAAUACUAUCUCAAACAUCAAAUUUCUUUAAAACAUGCUUUUCAUAAACCACACUAAUUACCGUAAAUCAACUAGACAACUCAAUUUUGUAUAACCACUACACACAUUAAUGCAUACACACACACACACACAUUGAACAAGUCACAUUUCAUAAUCCACAUAUUCAUAAAUCAACUAGACAACUUUAUUUUGCAUAACCACUAGACACACAAACACUCACACACACAUGAAACAAGUCACAUUUCAUAAUCCACAAACUCGUAAAUCAACUAGACAACUCAAUAUUGCAUAACUACUAGACACACGAACACUCACACACACAUAAAACAAGUCACAUUUCAUAAUCCACAUAUCCAUACUCGAAAACCCUCACCAGCAACUAAAUACGCAACUGAAACCAAAAACACCAAAACCGACGGCAUAAACACCACCAUCCAAUAAUAAUCCACCGUCUGCUGAUCCGUCAAAUAAAACGCCCCAGGAAACACAUCCUCCCCGCCGCCACCGCCACCAGAGCUCACAUUUAUCGACAACGGCUGAAUCCUCAAAUCCCGGCAAAACACGCGUUUCCCGUCCUCCGCCGGGAACACAAUCUUCACGCUAAUCGAGGUGGACACAACGAUCACAAUCACGAUACACAACAAGAGGGAAAUCAAGACGGGGCGUUGUAAUUGGAUCAUCGCUUUGUCUUCUUCGCGCAGAUUGUCGUACUCGUGCUUCGGCAUGAAGGCUUGCCGGAGAGCGUUGCUGAGUAACGCCAUGGAUGUGUGUAGUUUGAUUUGGGGAUUAGGGUUUGGAGAUGACAAGUUAAUUGACUGUCAUGUACUAGAACAAGUCAUGUGGUUGAUGUACCAGGCAUAAAUUAAUCCGAAACCGAUUUAAUCCGGUCAUAAAUUAAUCUGAAACCGACUUCAUACGCAUAAAUUAAUUGGGAAUAAUAAAAAAAUUCAAAACAAAUAAUAUUGAUAUUAUUUAUUAUUCUCUAGAUUUUAUUUUACUUGUUAUUUUUUGAGAGAUGGUUCCGUAUGUUUUUUUAAAUUUUUAUAAAAUAUAAUUUUAUAAAUGAUUUGAUGAAAAAUUUCUAGAUAAAAUUAAAAAUUCAAUUUCAACUAAAACAGGAAAAUUACAAAAUGAGUCAUGAAAUUAUAUUUUAUGAAAAAUUAAAUUAUUAAUAAGAGAAUUCUUACAAAAUUAUAAAGAGAUUUGUAUAUAUAGUUAUUGACAUAAAGAGAUUUGUAUAUAUAUUUAUUGACAUUGAUUUUAGACGCGAGAAGGGAAAUUGUGUUUGUUUAAACUCUAACCAAUUUGUUUCAUAACAAAUUUAUAUGUCAGCAUUCUAACUUUCUCAUCGGUAUUACACUUAAUCAUACAGAUGAUUACAAACAUCUUUAAGAUAUUAUAUCUUAUAAUUUCUUUAAAUUGUCCUCCGUGAGCUGAGAAAAAUGUUCGUUCAUCUAUAUUUUAAUUUUUAAUUUUCUAUUUUCUUAAAAUUAUUAUAUUUAACUAAUCAUCGUUUGCUUGUACAUUCAUCAAUAAUAAAAUGUUUAAUGUUCUUCCAUCAAUAACAUCACAAAAUGGGCACCUAAACAAAUGCUACAUAUAAACCAAAAAAAUUUGUAAAUUAUGAAUAACUGUUCCAAAGUGCAUAAUCCUAUUUUAACAGGUCAAUAAAUGUCAAUAAAUAAACAGACAAAUACUAAAACUACUUCAAGUAACUUGAUGGUUUCUUGAACAUCAUCUAUUUUAAGUAUUUUGAGCCCUGAUCUUACAUAGGAAUAAGAAUAAGACAAUAUGGUUACUCCAAUCUACACUGCUAGAUUUAAACUUGAUUCUUUUAAAUUCAGAAGUUCCACGAUGUGCUGCGUUUGUUUUAUCUUCAACUAAAUAGAUAAGUAGGCAGCUUCUUCAUAAUAGUAGAUAACAAGCAGAUUAGAGGAUUAGCGGGCCUUAGAUAAUUGUUUUUCAUCUUUUUGGAGCAUCAUCUUCAUUGUUUUGUUUACUGCAAAUCAUCUUCUUUGUUUACUGCAAAGAGGAAUGUGAAAAUCAGUGACAUUCAUACUAAAACAUUUAAUAGAUUUUAAGUACAUUAUAACUUAACUAUAUAAUACGCAUACCUUCAACAUUUCUGAGCCAUCCGUCUCAAACAUAUUAUUAAACAAGACAAUCUUCACGUGAAUAAGAUUGUAUUGAGUUGGUUUUAUUACAGGGUCCAUGGUAACUCAGCACACAAUUCUAGCCACCUACAUAGAGCUCGCUGAUAGACAACAAAAACCAGUAUGAUGAUUGGUUCCUAUCAACAAUCUUAUCAUGUCUCUUUUGAAAUAAAAUGAUAUAAAUGUAUGGGAAAGAGAAGCAAGAACUAAAGGUCAAACUAAUAUAUAUUGGUCACUGCAUAGUAAUAUUUAAGAGACAUCAUUUAUAUGUUACUGAAUUAAAUAGGAAGUAGAUCAACCUUCAGCAAUUGUUUGCUCAGAUGAAGAGUUCUUCUCUUAUUUCAGUUAGCCGAGUCACAAGGAAUCCCUAGCAGUGGUGGCAACCUCUGGGUUCUUUUGCGCCAAAUGAAGCAGCGGCACGACUAAACACAUAGGACAAAAUGGGCAUAUAAAGUUUGUUAGACAGAUAAAGACAGAAAUUUUACAAUAUUACAUAUAUUGUAAGAAGUUUGUACAUGCAAAACCAAUUUUAUUGUUAUACACAAAUCAAGCGAAGGGUGAAAAUACCAUAUCGAGAAAUGUUGGCAUUUCUCUUUGUCCACUUAGAGCAAGGUUUGGUAGAAUCACUUUUAUCCCAUGCCGGCCUGACAUAAUGAAUUUCAAUAUUUCACGAAUUUCAUAUUGUACGCAUUAAUUAUAAAGUUAACAGUUAUG